GCUGAAGGAACAGUUAGGAUUAUGGUGCAGUAUCUGUAGUGUGAGUUGCAACAGCAAGGUGGACAUGGAUUCUCACCUAAAUGGGAAGAGUCACUCGGAUCAGAUCAAGGACCAGUUAAGAUUAUGGUGUGGGGCAUGUAAUGUAACCUGCAAGAGUGAGCGCAACAUGGCCUUUCAUCUGAAUGGGAGGAAGCACUUAGAGAAGAAGGGGAAUACCUGAUUUGCUCUUCAGAUUAUUGAUACUUACAAAUGGUUUUAGUUAGAAGCAUACAGACCAGUGGGUGGUGCUCACAGAUGCCUCUAUUUUGUUGUAUGAAGUAAAAACAGUAUUUCCAUGUCCAGAAAUCAACCACUUGUUUAGUGCAUGCAUGGCUGGUUCAAAAUUAAACCUAAUUGUGAAUGACUAGGAGCAGGGAGGGAAAAAUUGAAGUGAAGAAUGUAAGAUUAUGGCUUCAUUUUUAUUUUUUCCUCUUCUGAAAAUUGUAAGAUUGUGUUAGGAGGAGCUGGAAUGGGUUCAAAUCAGGAAUUAAGACCCAGUUCCAAGACAUGGAAAGUGUCUUUAGAUUAUGUUAAGUUAUUUCCAUUUUUUUUUCUUUAUUUACGGUAAGAGGGAGCAUAAGGAACGAAAAUGAAUAUUUUUUUUUUUUCGAAUAAAAAUGAAUUUGAUAAUUUCAAUUAUUGUGUUUGGAUGUAUUUCGGAAUGUAAGAUUAAAAUAAUUAUUUGUUUUCAUUUUAGUGUUUGAUAAUAAUGAAAGUAUGAAUUAAAAAAUAAAUUGAUAAUAAUAUUCUUAUAUUUAAUUUAAAAUAUAUAUAUAUUUUUUAUUUUAGAAGAAUAUGGGUUAAAAGUUUUUUUUUUUUUUUAAAUAAUAAGCUUAAGAAAAAUAAUUUUUACUCAAUAAAUAAAAUUAAUCAUACAAAGUCAUAAAAACCAAACCAAAAUAUAAGGGUAAAAUAAUAAUUUUAAACUAUUCAUUUAAGUUAUCCAAAUGCAUUCCGACUCUUCAUUCUCUUAUACCAAAUACCGUCUUUAAGUAUUUGUCAAACUUAUUUUUUUGCAAAAUAUCAAUAUUUUACUAAUAUUUUUAUCGAUUAUUUGCCGAUAUUUAUCGCCACGUCACCAAUUCUUUGAGUUUGACUUUCAAAAUUUUGAAAUGAUCUUUGAAGUCCAGUUCAGCCCAAAUCACUACACCCAUGAACUCAUCUACAAAAGGGAACGGCUGGGCCACCACACUAAUAUGGCCCAUACAUGGGACCUCGUAAAAGAAUACCCAUCUUCAAAAAUAGGGACCAUAUUAAAUUAUUAAUGUAGCUAUAGGAAGCAUUUGAGGACAAGGGUUAUGAUUUUUCCCUUUUCUUUUUCUCCUUAAUUUUCACAUCACCCAACAACACCACUCUUAAUUCACACAAAUUUGAAGGUUUGGAAUGAGACUUCUUCAUAAUUAUAUUGUAAUUAUGUUAUAAUAACCAUGUCGUUUUUGGAUUUAUUUAUUCAGUCCAUCUAAAUCUUUUGUUUAUUCGCGUCAAAACAAUAUAUUUAUAAUCGAAUCCAUUUAUGACAUGUUCAUCUUUUAUAAAUUCAUUAAUUUUAUAUAUUUAAAAUUUAUAAAAGUUAAAUAUAUUUUUUCAAUUAUGAAUAUCAUAUUACUAAAAUAUUAAAUAACUAAUUAACUUGAAAUGUUUUAUAUUUCAUUAAUUAUUUUAUAAUUACAAAAUUAAGUGAAAUAAUAAAUAGGUUAAAAUAUAUAUUUUAUUUUAGUUAAAAAUUAUAAAUUGUUAUUGAGACACAUAACUACUAAAAUUCUACCCAUUUGACUAUCAAACAAACAACUUAAGUUUUUAGUCAUAAUUUAAGCUUAUGAUAAACUCUAUUUACAAAAAUUAGAAACCAAAAUCAAAUUCUUCCUAGACUCAAAAAUAUAAAGACAAUCUUUUAACUUUAGAAGAGAACUAUCAUCUAAGAUAAGGGUAACACAUCCCAUUGCCUGUACAACAAUUCUUGCUUCAAAAGCUAAUGUUAGGUACAUAUCCCUAUCAUUCAACCUUUCCCUUAGCUAAAACCCCUAUAAAGAAUUAUAAACAUGAUCAAUGGCUCCAAAAUUUAUCCACCAAGAGUUAGUGGAAUCUAAUACUAAACAUGAUUCAACUAAAAGAGAAUGAUGCAUACCUGACUGUCUCUUUAAGAACUAAGGGCAUUCCUUUUUCUAAUGGCCUUUUUUACCACAAAGGAAACAUUUGUCAUGACCCUUACUCUUCUUCUUCUUCUCUUGCCCUUGAACUUUCCCUUCUGUUUGGUGAAUUCUAUAAUGUUCUUAUUUUGGUUAGAAGAACCUAAAGAACACUUAACUGCCAUAUAAAUACCUCUCUGAUCCUUGAGAAUUCCCUCAAUCAUUUUGUGUUCUCUCAUCAGUUCGGUUAUAGUUUAAGAAAAAAAUUGUUUUUUUUAUGUGACUAAACUUGGAAUGAAUGUCCAAGUUGCAUACAUACUCGGGUUGAGAUCAAGUCAUAAUGUAGUUUAAGAAAAAUAUUUUUUAUUUUUUAUUUUUAUUUUUUAUCUGAUUGAACUUGGAAUGAAUUUCUAAGCUACUUACGUAUCCAGGAUGGGAUCAAGUUCUAACAUAGUCACAAUGCAGUUCAAGAAUUAUUUUUUUUUCUUUUUUUGUGCUCCAACUUUUGCCAAGACUAAAGAUCUUAAUUUUGCGAGCAUGUCCUAACUUUUGCCUAGGUCGCCUUUCCAAGUUUUCAAUUUAGCAAACUAGGUUUUUUUUUUUCUUUUUAGUUCUCUAACUUUUGCCAAGACUAAAGAUUUUAAUCUUGUAAGCAUGUCAUAACUUUUACAUAAGUCGAAUUUUUAGGUUUUCAUAGUGCUGGAUUUUUUUUUUGUUUUUUGUUUUUUUUUUGUGUCGUAGUCAAUUUAAGCUCAUAUGGGUUGGAAGCGAUGUGUAGUUUGUUGGGAUUGAGCCCUUAAAAGCAAGACAUGAUGUAAUAAAGUUAAACUUAACUAUCCCCUUACUAUCCUUUUGGUGUAUCAACAUUGAUUUAAACAUUCAACCCAUAUCUCUUACAUUGUAUAUGAUUUAGAAGCAUUAGGAGUUGUACAGAAGAUACAAGUUAUGUGUUCUUUGUAAGUAGGUGAGUUAUCCAUAGUCAUUUCAUGGAUUUGGGCAAUCUAGUAGAGACUAUAGUGCACCACCUCCUAAUUGAAGGGAUGACUUGUCUUGGCCGUUGGGAUGAGUUUCCUAUGGUGAGCGUACUAGUGUAUAUGAUGCACAUUGGAUAGGACCUAUGACAAAUCAUGAUGCAAGGCUAUCAAUUGUCAUGAUUCACCAAGUUACUAUACUACAUGGACUCUCAACCUUGAGAGGACAUUGAACCUGUGUCAAAAUCAAUAGAAAGUUUUGACCUAUGGGCGAGACCCUAAAGUAGUCAUAUAUCCUUAUGAAUUAGGUCAUUGUUGAUGGAGGCUAGUGAUAAUAGGCAUUCUCAAUAGAGGCACCAUGAUAUGUCAUGCGAUUGAGAUGGUGUGUCCCUUUGGGUGAUCCAAGGAACAUGUGAUCAUGAAAUUUGUGGCCACAGUAAUUCCUUUAGUGGAAUUUGACAUAUGCUCAAGGAUUUGAGAGAUAAUAUUGAUAGGUGAUAACACUAUCUUGUUAGAUUAUAGACACCAGUUUCAUGGGGAAUCUGCAUGUAGUGGAUAGUAGGUCAUGAAUGCGAGCUUUGUCUCGUUGUUAUUUACAUAAGGUACUGGAGUGUAGUUGAUUCUCUUUAGUAGAAUGUUAAAUCAACUUCAAAAUUGGAUUAUGAGGGAGCCAGUACUCCUAUGGGUCUCAAUGGUCCCCACUCUAAGCUUAUAUACCAUGAUGACAUAAUUUAUGAGGGUUGGAUUGGCUUUAGGUUCAUUCUUAUGCAUAAGGGCAUUUUGGUAAUUACUCAAGGUUGCAUAGGGGAUAAUAAAUAAGGUCUCUAGAUUGGACUAAUUGAUUAAUUAGAUGGCCUUAUGUGGUUAAUUAAUCAAUUAAGACAUGUUAGGGCUAGAUUAAGUGACUCAAGCCUUGAUGGGUUCAAGUCACUUAAGCCUAGUGGGUAACCGUAUAAAUACCCCCUUAUGGGUUAGGGUUUUCUAAUGACUUUUAGUUAGUCAUCUUCCACUUUUAGAAAAAUAGAGAGAGUCAAAGCUUCCUCCUUUCCACUGCCCACACUUUGGAAUGCCAAGAUCGUGGAUCGAGUCAUCGAACGAAAGAUCUUGGGUGUAUGAGACCUUCGAACUCUUUAGGCUUCUUCUUCGUUGGAUGGAUUUUGAUCUAGGAACAUCUAGAUCACAUGUAUGUGUUAUAAAAUUUGGUUAAUUCAACCUAAGGUAAUCAUCCUAGAGAAGGGGCGAAUAGGGUGAUGAUCUUUUUUUGAAAAUUUAAAUUAUGUGAAUGCAAGAGACAAUUAUAUGCAAAAUAUAUAGCAAAACCAUAUAAAAACAAUUGCAUAUAAAGUAAAAGGGUAAGGAAGAGAGAAAAUAAACACAAGAUUUUUAUAGCGAUUCAGUGCAACCCGACCUUCAUCCAUUCUCCUCUAGCUUCAAUCCCAAACUUGAGGUUCCACUAAUUUAAGGCUUCCAACCCAAGCCUUCAAGCAAUACAAUCGGAUUAUGGUUCCAAUCAAACCUCUUGAAAUUUUAGUUCUAAGCACAUUUUACAAUCUUCAAGAGAUACCUCACUCUUAAACAACUCCUUAAGUGAUACCCCACACUUGAGAAUCCCUAAGUGAUACCUCACACUUAGAUUUUUCAUCUCAAAGAUUUAUAAAUGAAGAUAGGAAAUUGUUAGCCCAAGGGCUCUCCUAAUCGGGUUUUGAUGAUAAAAAAUCAUGGUUAAAUGACUAAUUGGUUUAAUGGUUAAGAAUCUCAGGCAUAAACUUGAAAAUUCAUCAAAAGACCAAAUGGAUACAAGAUCGAGACGUUUGGAAGACUUGUGAUCAUAGGAAACUAAUGUAAGAUGAAUGCAUGAGUACACUUAGGAUUUUCAUACCGUUUCAUGCAAUUUAGAAAACUCGGUUUAUUCUUUAAAACUUCAAUUUCAUUAAAACUUGAGUUUUAACAAAUGUACCUUAGGCAAAAUGUUUUAAAAUUGGCAUAAUAAUUCACCUAAAAACCUUGCUUAAGUGUUAGAAAAGAAAGGAAUUGAAAAAUAUAGGUUUUCGGGGCCAAAAGGCUCAACCGAUCGAGGCUAUGACCAACCUGCUCAACCGGUUGGGGAAUCGGUCGACCGGUUGCCCCUGUCCGGUCGAGGUUCGAUAGAGGGAUGCACAAAAUUUUCUUUCUCUCCCAGUAGCCUUCUCUUCUCGGUCGAGGUCUGGUUGAGGACCGAUCAAGGUUCGAUCGAGGCAACGGUAACCUGUCAAGCAUUAAAUGUUCCAACGGCUAGUGAACCGGUCAACCCCUAGCUCGACCAGUUGAGGUUACCUUUUGCUGUUUUUGGCUCCCGAGCUUAGAAACCUAUAAAUUGAGAGCUCCACUUUAUUUAUUGACGAGAGAACACUUGCAAUCAAUUGUCUACCUACCUGUUCUUGAUCAAAAAACUCUCAUUUCUUUCUUUGUGCAUUAAAUCAUCACUUGCAUAUCCUUUAGUGCACUCUUAUGUGUCAUCCUAGCUUUGUCUUAUAUUUGAGCUAUCCUUAAGCUAGGUUGAGGGAUUCAUUCUUGUAAAAACUGAGUGUCAAAGCCUUCAAGAGGUUUAAAUCUUGAAGAGAUUGUGUAAGAGCCCAUUGGAGCCAGAAUCCAAGUGUAAGAAGAUUGGAAGCUUGGUUGAAGCUUCAAGUUAGUGGAACCCUCACUCGGUUAAAAGAUUGAGGAGAGUGGAUGUAGGGAAGGAAGUGUCGAACCACUAUAAAACCCAAGUUUGAAUUCUCUAACUCUAUCUCUUUAUUUUGCUUAUAUUGUGCUUGAACUCGUUGUGAUUGAAAAGAAUUUAAAAAACCCAAUUCAUCUCCCUCCCCCCUUUUAGGUGUUUUUCUUAAUUAAGCAUAGCAUUUAUUUUCUCAAUUGGUAUCAGAACUAGACCUCUUGUUUUUUUUUUUUUUUUAAAAAAAAAAAUUAAUCGUCUAAGAGGAUAUGACUAUUGCAUCAAGCUCAUCUCAAGCUAAAAUUUUUUCAAAACAUAGAGCUUCAUUCUUUACGGGAUCCGACUAUCCCUAUUGGAAAACUAGAAUGACUUGGUACUUACAAUCUACUGAUUUAGAUGUAUGAGACGUCAUUGAAGAUGGCCUAACUUUUCCCACUAAACUAGUUGAUGGAGUUUUGGUUCCAAAACCCAAGCAAGAAUGGAAUGAGCUUGAUAGAAAAAACUUUCAAUUAAAUGCUAAAGUCGUUUUUACUUUGCAAUGUGCUAUGGAUAGAAAUGAAUAUAAUAGAAUAUGUCAAUGCAAAUCGGCUAAAGAAAUUUAGAGGUUGCUUGAAAUAACUCAUGAAGGAACUAAUCAAGUGAAAGAGUCAAAAAUUAAUUUACUUGUUCAUAACUAUGAAUUGUUUUCAAUGAAAAAAAAUGAUACUAUUGUUGAGAUGAUUACUAGGUUCACCGACAUUGUCAAUGGUCUUGAAGCUUUGGGAAAAACCUACAAGGAAUCCGAGAAGGUGAUGAAGAUAUUGAGGUCUUUCCCAUCAAAGUGGCAUACCAAGGUCACUGCAAUUCAAGGAGCAAAAGACUUGACUAAGCUACCUAUGGAAGAGCUCAUAGGGUCAUUAAUGACAUAUGAGAUCAAUUUGACAAAGAAGCUACAAGAGGGUAAAGACAAAAAGAAGAAGAACAUAACCCUCAAAGCUAUAACCAAGGAAGAAGAAGAUGUUGAAGAAGAAAAACCAAGUGAUGAAGAUGAUGAUUUAGCCCUCAUCACAAGAAAGCUCAACAAAUACAUGAGAGGUGAAAGGUUUAGAGGAAGAAAGUUCACCUCUAGAAGAGAUCCUUCUAAAAAGGAAUCUUCAUCCCAUGGUGACAAGGAGAAAUGAGAAGAUAAAAGAGAUUUGAUAUGCUUCAAAUGCAAAAAACUGGGACACAUUAAAUAUGAUUGUCCACUCUACAAGAGUGAAGCCAAGAGAAGAAUGAAGAAGGCAAUGAUGGCCACUUGGAGCGAAAGUGAAGAAUCCUCCGAAGAAAAAAAGGAGAAGGAAGUAACAAACAUGUGCUUCAUGGCAAUAGAUGAUCUUGAUGAGGUAAACUCUAACUUUAGUGAUGAAGAUAUGUAUGAUGUUUUUGAAGAAUUAUAUGAGGAUUUUGAAAAACUUAGUUUGAAAAAUAAUUCUCUUAAAAAUAAAAUUCAAGAACUUGAAAAAGAACUUGAAGAAGUAAAAGAAAAAGUUUCAAUUGUUGAAAUAUCUAAAACUCAUCUUGAAAAAGAAAAUAAGAUUUUGAGAAGUGAAAAUGAGAUUUUGAAAAAGAAAAAUGAAUGGUUGACCUCCUCUCUUUCAAUUUUCUCUUGUGGAAAAAAAUAUUUUGAAAUGAUCUUAGUUAGCCAAAAAUGUAUUUUUGACAAACAAGGGUUAGGAUUCAAAUCUUCAAAAAAUCAAAAGUAUUUUAAAAACUACUUUGUAAAAGAAUCCGCAAGUGUAAGUCAUUCUACCACUUGCAACUUUUGUAGAAGAGGAGGAGACAUUAGUAGUACAUGUCUCUUAAGAAAUGGUUCUCAAAAGAAUUCAAAUGCUAAAGCUAAAAAGGUUUGGGUUGAGAAAUCCAAAGUCACUAACCCUCAAGGACCCAAAAAGAUAUUGGUACCUAAAUCAACUUAAAUUUUAUUUUGUAGGGUUCAAAGAAGGAUAAGUGGUUCUUGGAUAGUGGAUGCUCAAGACACAUGACCGGGGAUGAAUCCAAGUUUGUUUUCCUUACAAAGAGAAAGGGAGGAUAGGUUACCUUUGGAGACAAUGCAAAAGGAAGGAUCAUUGGUCAAGGCAACAUUGGUAAUGACACAUCCUCUCUUAUUGAAAGUGUUUUAUUAGUGGAUGGUUUAAAACAUAAUCUUUUGAACAUAAUUUAACUUUGUGACAAAGGUUUUAAAGUGAUUUUUGAAGCAUUUCAUUGCAUUAUCAAAGAUAUUCAAAAUGAUAAAACCAUCUUCAUGGGCCAUAGAUGUGAUAAUUUUUAUGCUAUAAAUAUUUCAAAUAUGAUGGCCAUGGUAAAUGUUUUUCAAGCAUGCAUGAUCAAAGUUGGUUGUAGCAUAGGAGGUUGGGACAUGCUAACAUGGACCUCAUUUCCCAACUCAACAAAGAAGCACUUGUUAGAGGCCUUCCCAAAAGAAAUUUUCAAAAAGACAAAGUUUGUGAAGCUUGUCAAAUGAGAAAGCAAAUCAAAAACUCUUUUAAAAACAAAAAUUUCAUUUCAAUAACUAGGCCUGCAUAUGGAUUUAUUUGGUCCCUCUAGGACACCAAACCUUGGAGGAAAAUCUUAUGCAUUUGUUAUUGUGGAUGACUUCUCUAGAUACACUUGGGUCUUAUUUUUAAGUCAAAAGAAUGAAGUCUUUUUUGAGUUUUCAAAGUUUUGCAACAAGGUUCAAAAUGAAAAAGGUUUUACAAUUUCUUGUAUAAGAAGUGAUCAUGGAGGAGAGUUUGAAAAUAUUGAUUUUGAAGACUAUUGCAAUGAGCAUGGUAUUAACCACAAAUUUUUGGCUCCUAGAACUCCUCAACAAAAUGGGGUAGUUGAAAGGAAAAAUAGAACUCUUCAAGAAAUGGCUAGAACCAUGCUAAAUGAAAACAAUUUACCAAAAUACUUUUGGGCCGAAGCAAUUAACACUUCUUGUUAUGUUUUAAAUAGAAUUUUAUUGAGGCCUAUUCUUAAAAAAACUCCCUAUAAGCUUCGGAAAAACAAGAAACCCAACAUUAGCUAUUUCAAAGUCUUUGGGUGCAAAUGCUUUAUAUUAAAAACCAAAGACAAUCUUGAAAAUUUUGAUGCAAAAUCGGAUGUUGGAAUUUUUCUUGGUUACUCAACUUUAAGUAAAGCCUUUAGAGUUUUUAACAAAAGAACCAUGGUUGUUGAGGAGUCCAUCCAUGUUAUUUUUUAUGAAUCUGACAAUUCUCUCCAAGAAAGAGAGAGCUUUGAUGAUGAUUUAGGCUUGGAGACCUCCAUGGGAAAAUUACAAAUUGAAGAUAGAAGGCAACAAGAAGAAGUUGUAGAGGAUCCCAAGAAAGAAGAAUCACCUUUGGCACUACCUCCUCCUCAACAAGUGCAAAGUGAAUCAAGCUAAAACCUUCCUAAAGAUUAGAAGUUUGUCAUCAACCACCCACAAAAUCAAAUUAUAGGUAAUCCAUCUAGUGGGGUAAGAACUAGAUCAUCUCUUAGAAACAUUUGCAAUAAUCUUGCUUUUAUCUCUCAAAUUGAACCUAAAAAUAUAAAUGAUACUCUAGUUGACGAAAAUUGGAUGAUUGCUAUGCAAGAAGAGUUAAAUCAAUUUGAAAGAAGUGAAGUAUGGGAAUUAGUGCCAAGACCUCAAAAUCAAAGUGUUAUUGGAACUAGAUGGGUCUUUAGAAAUAAAAUGGAUGAAAAUGGCAUAAUUAUAAGGAAUAAAGUAAGAUUGGUAGCCCAAGGUUUUAAUCAAGAAGAAGGGAUAGAUUAUGAAGAAACCUUUGCUCUCGUAGCUAGAUUGGAAGCCAUUAGGAUGCUACUUGCCUUUGCACGUUUUAAAGACUUUCUUUUAUAUCAAAUGGAUGUGAAAAGUGCUUUCUUAAAUGGCUUUAUAAAUGAAGAGGUAUAUGUUGAACAACCACCCGGUUUUCAAAGUUUUAACUUUCCUAAUCAUGUUUUUAAACUUAAAAAUGCACUUUAUGGUUUGAAACAAGCACUUAGAGCAUGGUAUGAAAGAUUGAGUAAAUUUCUUUUGAAAAAGGGUUUUAAAAUGGGAAAAAUUGACACAACUCUUUUCAUAAAAAUAAAGAAAAUGACAUGCUCUUAGUGCAAAUAUAUGUUGAUGAUAUCAUUUUUGGAGCUACUAAUGUCUCUCUUUGUGAAGAAUUUUCUAAAUGCAUGCAUAGUGAGUUCGAAAUGAGCAUGAUGAGAAAACUUAACUUCUUCCUUGGACUUCAAAUCAAGCAACUAAAGGAAGGAACCUUCAUCAAUCAAGCAAAGUAUAUAAGAGAUCUCCUCAAAAGGUUCAAUAUGGAGGAAGCGAAAACAAUGAAGACUCCAAUGAGUUCAUCCAUCAAGCUUGACAAGGAUGAGAAAGGUAAGUCCGUUAACUCAACUAUGUAUAAAGGCAUGAUAGGUUUUUUGCUAUAUUUGACCGCUAGUAGACCUGACAUCAUGUAUAGUGUAUGCUCGUGCGCUAGAUUUCAAUCUUGUCCUAAAGAAUCUCACUUAAGUGCCGUAAAAUGAAUUCUUAGAUAUUUAAAAGAGACAAUGGACAUAGGCCUAUGGUAUCCUAAGAGUGAUAACUUUGAAUUAAUUGGAUUCUUAGAUGCCAACUUUGCCAAUUGUAAAGUUGAAAGGAAAAGCACUAGUGGCACUUGUCAUUUCCUAGGACACUCACUUGUUUCAUGGCAUAGUAAUAAGCAAAAUUCGGUAGCCUUGUCAAAGGCGGAAGCAGAAUACAUAGCAGCUGGUUUAUGUUGUGCACAAAUCCUUUGGAUGAAACAAACACUUAGUGAUUUCAAUUUGAUUUUUGAGCAUGUUCCUAUUAAACGUGAUAACAUUAGUGCCAUAAAUAUUUCAAAAAAUUUGAUGCAACACUCUAGGACUAAGCAUAUAGAGAUUAGACACCAUUUUCUUAGAAAUCAUUUACAAAAAGGUGACAUUACACUUGAAUUUGUAAGCACAAAAGAUCAACUUGCCGAUAUUUUUACAAAACCUCUAAGUGAAGAGCAAUUUUUUUAUAUUAGAAGACAACUAGGGGUGAUUUCUUUAUAAUCAAAUGAUUACUUGAUGAAUUCUUGAUUGAAUAUACCUUAUGAUUGCGUGAAUUUCACAUCAUAUGCAUCAUAUAGAAAUAAUCUUAGGAAAAAGGUCAAAUUUUGACCAAAAAUCAAAAUUCCCUUGGCAUUGGAUAUCAAAAAUUGGGGAUUUCAACUGAAAAGGGCAAGGGAAGGAUCACGAGACAAGCAAAAGCCAAAAAAUUAGAGCGUUGACCAUUGACCAUUGACCAUUGACCAAGCGGUUCGUCGGGGCUGGGAAUUUAAAGAGACCCCCGCGCUUUAUUUUUUUCACUAUUCCCCUCAAUUCCUUGAAAACUCUUCACAUACCUGCUUCCAGAGACCACUUUGGGUUGAAUCUUGGACCAUUUGAAGGGCUUGGAGUUGUUUUUGGGACGUUUUUAAGACUAGGGUUUCAAUCUGAAACCUAAGGUUUCCAUUUUUAGGAGCAAUUCCUCUCAGACCACGUGCAUCAGCCAGGCUCAACUCCUUCUCCUUGCGCUUAGGGCUUCCGGUUGGAUUUCAUUCUCUCUUGUUUGGUUUCAUUCUCUCUUCAAACUUCUUUUUCUUCAUUUUCCGUUCUUUGGAUGGCGCCUAGGAGAGAGACAACUACCUCUAGGGCUCAGGGCAAGCGCCCUGCUGAGCCAUCUCAACCUGAGCAGAUGGAGGCUCACCGAAAGGCGAGGUAUGACACGACCCUCUGUGGACCCGCAUUUUUCACGUGCGUCCCCACUCGAUCGGCGAGACUCGCUUUUUAUUUGUGAAAAAUUGAUCUUUAAAAAAAAAAAAGUUGGAGUCGCCACCUAUUUUAUUUUUAUUUUGAAGGGAAAAUAAAACAAGAAAGAAAAACCCUAAAAAGUGACUCCAUGGUUUUGGAAAAAGCAUGUCUUUGAGAAACCCGAGUCUAAGUCCGGGGAUCAGGUUACUUAUUGGGAAGGUACCUCUAGGAGGUAGCACCCCUCUAAGCCCUAAAAAGGUCUCUACUGACUAAGUUAAGGGAAGCGUGGCAAUUAAAUGGUUGAUCAUGGAUACCUAAGUAGGCUAGGUGAUUCCAAAAACAUAACAUAUCAAACAAGAUCAAAUCACAAUUAAGGAGAGUUAAAAAUGCGUACCUGGACGGCUUCCCAAACGCUAUCAUAAAACAUAAGAGAUUAGUUUGGAGAUACAUCACACAACAUUUGUUUUACUCAAGCAAAUCAGGCAUAUAUCAAGACAUUCAAGAAUCACGUCAAAUAUGGAUAUGGUCAUCAAUGACAUACAAGUCCAUAGAAUUCUCGAAAAAAGGAUGAAAAUGAGCGUACCUGGAUAGCAAGCUAGAGCGCCUUUAUGGGAAACAAGGUUAACCCAAUAACAAAUUCAAGCAUAUCUCCAAGAAGAAUCAAAAUCAAUUGAAUACCAAAAAAUCAUCUUUAAAAUCAAUAUUAGUGAAGAUAUUAGGAAUGUAGGACCCCCCACCAAAGUCCAUAUUACUUUUGCACGAAUUGAUUCAAUGAAUUCCAUUAUUUGGAAUCGUGAAGCUUAUUCAUGCUUGUCAAAAAUCGAGAAAAUCAUAAAAUAGUUGAAGAUGAUGAAAAUGCAUGCCGGAAGGGAAAAUGGCAGCAAAUAGUAUGUUAAAAUUUGGAUUUUAUGCCUAGAGACUUCUCAGGAAUUUUAAAUAAAACUAGAAUUAUUUUUUACGGGAAAAGAUUUUGAAAUCCAGAUUUAAAAUGUGUAAGAUAACAAAAAGAAUAAGGAGAAACAUUAGGAGUAUGGUGUGUGGCAAGGUGACCACUAUAUGAGUGAGGUCUGGAGGUGCACUUGAGACUAAAUGGUUGAAACAGAUUGCAUAGGGAGCAUUCUGUACACCACUAGUUGUCUAGAAAGAAACUGAAUGUGUUCGUUUCCGAGCCCAUGUUCACCGGAGUUUAGGGUGCCACCUCAUUUAAAAAAAAGGGCUUCAAUACAACUCUAGUUUCUCAAGAUCACAAUCUGAAUUAUCAACAGAAGCUUCUGGUGAAGACAUAAUGCUCAAUUUCAGAUUAAAUUUCCUGUUCUAUAACUCGUUUUCUCUGAAUUUUCCUUUAAUGUCUGUGCUUUCUGAUCAUAUAAGUUGCCCGUCUGGUUCCUUGUUUGAGACUCUGCCGAACCUGGAAUAAUGCUUCUAGGUCUAGCUGAGGGGACCUACACCCCUUUUCAUGGAACCUGAGGCAUGCGUUAAUUCGAAACUCUAUUACUUUGCCUUCCAUUGCUUUAAGUCUUUUAGCCAUCUCAGCCACAAAUCUGGAGAUUCAUUUAUCUUUCUUUAAUAUUCAAGCCAAAUGUCAAUCCAGUCCGCUUAAACCCCGAUUUGAAUGAUUUUGAACCCUCUUUUUGCGCUCUUGAUGUUUUUCAUUUCAACUACAAUGACAAACCACCCUUCGAAAAAAGAAGAAAUCUGGACCAAAUCCUAAACUUUUAAUUCACAACUUCUUGAGCCUGACUCUGAGUCGACACAAUUGAAUCACCUUGGAUAAGAGUGCUUCUAAAAAUCCUCCAGAAUGUAGGCACAAGUGCAGCGUUCGUUAAUAAUGUCCAUGGCAUGUCACAAAGGAAAGCUUCUUUUUUUAUAAUCAUCAACGCAAAUUGACUCUUAAUGGACCCCAUUGCCAGCGUCACAUCAAAGACUGGACAGAUAGGGAGAUUCACAAUUUCGAUAGCUAUCUUUGCAUUAUUUGGGCAGGGCAACCAUGUUAUGGAUAUAUAGCUCGAAGGUGACUUGCGUUUUGUUCUGUAUCAUCAGUAGCAGCCUCAAACCCGCCAUAGGUUUGAGUGGUAUUAAAAGACUCAACAUGAUCAGCUGUAGGUGAUCGAGCAGCCAAUUCAUCAUUGAGCAAAUCAAUAAAAGCUUGGAUAUCGUUGCCGAGUGGCCUAAAAUCAUUAGAUAAAUCAUUAAAGUCAUUAAGUAUAUUACUGAUCUCCAUGAAAACCCUCCUCCUUGCUUCUGUAGAGCGAACACAAGCUGCCACUAAAAUUGGUUAGCCCGGAUUGCUAAUUUAUGCAUCCAAUCACCAUCGAUUUCUCUUGUCCUUUUUGGAACUUCUGGAAUAUGGAUGAAACCUGUGAAGAAUGUGGUGGAAUUGCGGUCUGCAAGCACGAAGUUUCCAGUUACUUGAAAUGCUUCGAAAUCAUGGUUCCAGUUUACAUCUACAGGCAUUGGCUCAAGUAAGUUCGUAUCAGCUUGGGUGGCUUUCGAUUCCAAAAGCUCUAACAACAACAUGAUUCUCAAAUAUCCGAACAGCAAUGUCCAAAAUUGAAUCAAGAAAAUUCUUUAGCAGCAGUAUGUGUUGUCCCUGCUGGAGCCAUCACAGGAGCAACUAAGCUAACUGCCAAAAAGGUUCUAGCCAGUGAGAUCCCAUUCUGACGUUUCGGUUUUGGUGACUGAUAGCUUUCUAAUUGUCCCUGCAAAUAAUGUAAACCAAUAGUUCCAUUGAAUGGAUUGUCAUCCAGAGCAAGGAUCCGAAUACUUGUAAGGCCAUCAACGAAAUCAGCGAGGGUGGUGUCGACUUCGUUGUAAUCGAAGAAGGCGAGUUGCAAUUCAGACAAUCUGCGAGAAGAAGGCAAUUUUCCAUUGAAGUGGUUCAUCUGAAACCCCAAAUUGCAGAGCAUUGAAAGCUGGUUGAAGUUUUGAGGGAGAGGUCCCUUUAAUCCCAAUCCCUUAACUUGAAUCUGUGUAACUCUGUCACCACUAUAAAAUACACGAGGCCACAAAUUUGACUCCACCCGUUGGCUCCUUUCCUUCAUUCAUUCGCUUUAACAAGUCACAUUUAAUUCCAAAGAAUAUUAUAUAAUCUUCAAGUAUGUUCAAAUCAGAGGGCUCUAGUCCGUUAACCUUUACACUCUCUAGCAGGUUCUGUUCUUGUCUCUUCCUAUUAUACAGAAGUUCAAGCAAGUUUCAUAAAGCCUGAAUUUCUACACGUAGCCACUACUGGGGUCAGGUUUAUCCAAGUGUGCUGCUCCAACAGAAUUAUCGAUGUGUCAGUUUCUCUAAAAAUCACCUUGUGAAUCAAUCCACAAUACCGAGGCAUCCCAUCAUCAGAACUUCCUAAGCUUUCAGCAAGUAGGCAAGCAUUUAUGCUUGAGUCAACUCUACCGAUGACAACAAACCCAUCCAAAUCAAACUUCAUAGCUGUUUCUUCUUUUCCAUUAAUAUCAACUGGUAUCCUUUCUAAAAGAAUGCUUUUCUUAUGACGACAUGACAGUAAAACCCUUUUGCGAGAAUGGCUCAGAGUUUUGAUCAUCAUCUGAUUCUAUUGUAUUACUGGAAUGAUUGCUUUGGUAAAUGGAAUUCAACAGAAUCCACACAUUCAUGACUCUAAAAUUCAGCUUACUAGCAACCAGAUGGAACACACAUUUUCUGGUUCAGGCAUUCGUUUCUGGUCAGAUUCAUGGUAUCUUAGCGGUGCAACAGACGAUGCAGCAACCUCUUCUAGAGUGCCUUUUAUGAGCCUCAAGAGCAAAGGCCAAUGAUAGAUGAAGCGGUCCCUCUGCACUACUUGGGCUUCUGAUUCAGAAGUUAUCAUGAAGCCAACGAACAAGCAGAGUGAACGCAUUUGCAGUCAACCUUAAAAUUUCUAAUAUUGUCAGCAGGCCUGAUGGUAAAAAAACGAAAGUAGGGGAGCCUUAUUCAAGAGGAUCAUUGCGAACACUGUCACGUGUUAUUGGUGAGCUUGUUGGCAUCUUGUUUUGGGCAGAAUAAUGAGAUCCUUCAGUUAAUUAGAGAUCCAUAUCAACUAAACACCAGAAUCAUGGAUUUCCCAUGCUUUCUACUGGACAACGAUUGUCAGUUCUUUCUCUUGUUCACUUCUACUGGCAGUGGCUUGACUCUCCAACAAAACCCCUGAUGCACCCUGUAGCUCCUCAUUUAAUUCUGGAUUCUUAUCAGCAUCGCUUUCUUCUCCCUUUUGAGACUCUUGGAGUAUGAAAAAGAAAACUUGUGAAGAAUAAGGUGGAAUAUCCCAGCAAUGCAGUAUGGUAGGACCCAUUUGAGGGGGAACCCUGCAUUCAUCACUCUCACCUCCAGUAGCAUUAGAUGCUUGCUGGACCCAAUUCAGCCAGUCUCUGCAUAUUGACUCUCAAUAUAAACGUUUAGAAAUAACAAUGACUUCAUUUCUACUGCCUUGUUUAGACCUUCCUUGAUCAAUGUCUACCUUCAUUUCUCACAAAUUCUGGUUCUACUAUUAAAGUUCUGCCCCCAGUCCGUUUUGCAAAGCAUAAGCUAAUUUUAUAUUUGUAUAAUUCCAUCUUAACACACAAGUCCGUCGUAGCCUUUCCUGAGAAGUUAGAGAAGUUGCUUUUCUGAUAUAAAAAAGCCUUUCAGAACCAUGCUGAAGCUCUGAAUGUUGAUAGUUUUCCAUUGCAACUGAUAUGAGCUCCUCAUCGGUAGUGUCACAAGAAUGAUUCCAUGAGAAGUUUCUUGUUGCAUCACCUUUUUUAUGUAUUCCAACCCCAACUGUUGAGUUUCUUGAAAUUGAAACUACGGAACUUAGUUAUUUUGAAUUGUUUGCAUCUGUAGUGAUAAAUCACUGGAAGAGACAAUCAUAAUUUAGGCACUUGAUUUCCGUUUCGGUCGAACUAACAGCUUCGUAACUGUUAAUCUCAAGGUCAGAUUCAUGCUCUUGUUUCUCAAUUUCCUCUUCCCAUGAGAAUUUUUUUCAUAACAAUCGAAUGAAUUCUUAUAACUCCCAAAAGUUUCUAGCUUUUGCUGAUCAUGGAGGUGCCUCACAAUACUUGUCAUUAUACUCACUUUGGAAUUUUUCUGGUCCAUGUUCACUUUGAAUGAAUGUAUCCCUAAAGGGGGUAUUCAAUGACUGCCCAUAAUGAGUUACAAGUUCCCCAAAAUAGAAUAUAAUGAUCGUCGGCCUUACAGUACUGCUGUUUUAAAAUUUUCUGCUCGCUGAACAGUCAUAGUUCAAACCAUCAAUAUCAAAAGGCUUUCCCAGGCACUCAUCUUCAGAACCAUAAGGCCAGCAAGUCUGCAACCGUUUGAGUUGGGUAAAAAAGAAAGUCCUAAGCAGUGGAAGUGCACAGCAUGAUGCUGUCAAGUUUCAAUAACUUAAAUAUUGGCCAACUUAAGCCAGACCAUAUUCCUCAAAAAUCCAUUCUUCCUCUGCUCAUGUAAACUUGUAAUGCUGUCAGAAAUCCUGUCUUCAGAAUAGCAACCCUGACAAUUGAGUAUGGAAAGCAGAAUACCCAUGUGCUUCCAACUAAGCUUUUUACAACCAUCCUCAUAAACUGAGGCGUGCCAUUCUAAAGAAAAGGCAGAGUCUUUUAGAAAUCACAAUACUUCUGAAGCAGCUUGAAUUAGCAUAUUGCAGUAAUUGGAAGUCGGAUUGACUGAAACAGGGGCUCGAACGCAUCCAUCUGUAAAUCUUACAGACCGACCACCCUCAGAGAAAAGGUCUCCAAAAAAAAGGCUUCAGCUUCAUGACAAACAGCAUUCUCUGUUUCAGAGUUGCAACUGCCCCUGUUAUACUACUCCUGUGCACUUCAGCAUUUAUUCUUUAGUUAUACCGUCCCUUUAGAUAGCAUCUAUCCCACACCGUGAAGCAAGCAAGGUUCACUAUAAUAGGAUCUAGUAGCAGCAACAAACGGGUGAUCCUGGAGAUAUUUUAAACUCAACUUCAUCAACAUCUUCAGCGUGCACUUCUGUUGGAACACAAGCGAUAGUAGCAGUGAAAAAAAAAGUGUUGUACUGAUCCCGUUAGGAUUGCAGCCCAGAAUACCACGAACAGAGAGCCCCAAAAAUUGAAGCAACUCUGCAUCCAACUAAAUCACAUCUAGAACCCGGUUUAACGACUUUCUUGUCUUGAAGAGGAAAUACCCAAUCUGACUCAACAAUCUGUUAUCAUGUGCCAAACCCCACAAACAGCCCACAUUCUACGCAGCCUUUAUAAAGUCUCUACCUUUCAUGAAAUACUCAUGCCAUCAUUGUCUCCAUAGCCCAGAACACCAAAGUAAAGAAGAGGAAGAAGCGUAGAUAUAGAAGCACAAAAAAAGAAACCGAACAAAGAAAGAAAAAAAAAAAAAAAAAACGAAAACAGGGGAAUGGAAGGCAAUGGGUGGGAAAUCUGAAUAAGUCACAUUUCAUUAUUUUCAAAAGGGCUUUGAAGAAUCUGAACACAUUAGGACAAGCUUAGUUAAAAUUAUAUCAGGAUUCCACAAACAUUAAAAUUCAAACAUAAGUCUCUGUUUCAGCUAUUUAUAAAAAGAAUCAAAGAAAUCAAGAACACAAUCAUAAUAGAGCAAGUUUGAAGGAAAUUUCGAUUCAACAACGCAAAUAAAUGGCCCUCAAUGUCCACUCCAAUCAGCAAGAACAACUUCCCGAAAACAGCCAGAGAAUCUCAAGUGAAUGUAAACGGGAAUACCAAAAUAAUAAAAAAAAUAACAGGAAGCGUACCUGGCAGAACCUUGGCUGCAAUCUCCCUCUCUUUCUGCUCUUCUCUCCGCACUUUUUCUUCAAGAUCUCUCUUUUUCUCCUUUUUCUCCUUUCUUUCUUUUCUUUCCUUCUUCCUUUUCUUUCCUUCUCCCUCUCAAGCCCAAAAAUCCUAUCUCUCCCUCCGGAUCUCUCCAAAAAAAAAUCCCCAUGCGUGCUGCCAGUCCCACUUUUCAAAAAGAAAACAUCUUGCUGAAAAGGAAAAUCCUACUUCCUUUUCUCCUUUCUUUCCUUUCUUUCUUUUCUUUCCUUCUUCCUUUUCUUUCCUUCUUGUAGCCGAUCCCCACAUGGAAGAAGUAUAUGUGCUGUCCCUCUAAAAAUCAAAAUCUCCUCUUUUCAAAAUUCCGUUGAUUUUCCUUCCAAAUAAAUGGCGGUUCGUUUCCUCAUGCCCAAAAAAUAAAUAAAAUAAAAAAAUAAAAAUAAAAAAAAUAAAAAAUAAAAAAUUAAAAAAAUUAAAAACAAAAAUAAAAAAAAAUCAAUCACAUGCAAGCCAUACGAGCUAUGUAACCACCAAAGGAAUAUGAGUUAUGCAACCAUGCAAAAACACGAGCCAUGCAACCAUGCAAACCAUGCAAAAACAUCUAAAGGUGACCUAGGGUGUGUCCUAGUGCGCUAGGGCAAACGAAAUGGACUAAGUGUGCUUAAAAGCUAUCCUAAAAAAAAGAAAAGCCUACGACUAAGUUAGGGCUGCCAAGGGUCACAAUAAGGGAUCAAAUAAUCCCUCAACCAAAAUCUCCGAGGUGACUCAGAAAAAGGUUAGUGGUAUGAGUAGCCAUGGGCCACCAAGGAACUAUGGGGCACUGAAAACGAAUUUAAAGACAUGUGCUAAAGGGACAAAAUUGAGGGUCUACACCCUCUUCAGUUCUGUUGAAGAUUAUCAAAGAUACAAGCAAAAAUUCUCCCAGAGGAAACUAGGGAGAAAUAUCAAUUUCUCCCAACUUUAGUACUUCGGGUUUGAGGGACUCUUUAGUCGGAUGGGAUAACUGCCAGUUGUGAUGAUUUUCGAGCCGAUCUUCCUGACUCUGGUGCGGGCAUUUUAUUCAUAGGUGACUUAUGGACUUGGAGGACCAGUCAUGUCCACUAUUAGAGGUGUUGAGAUCAGACUGAGCCCGGAGAGCAUUUUCCGCAUUCUCGACAUUCCUUUAGUUGGACUCCGGGUGUAUGAGUCCAAGGUUUGGCCCACUGUGCCGGGAUUCGAGCCUAGAGAGGCUAUUCAGAGGCUGUGCGGACUUGUAGAUGCUGAGGGGAUGGACAAACCAUCGGCACAUAGCCUGACCGUGACCAGCCAAGUCCUUCAUCACAUGAUUUGCUCCUAUUGCCACAAGGCGGGUAUCGAGAUGAGAUUUCCUACCUGGAUGCUUUCAUAGUGGACACCAUUCUAAUGGGGAGAUGGAUUCAUGUAGGGUAUUUGAUGAUGAUGCAUAUGAUAUCCUACUAUGAGAGCACGACCCGAGUACUCCCCUACAGACGCUUCCUCACUCGAGUAUUCAAGGAUGUCGGGGUCGAUUUGAGUAGAGAGACGAACUUCGAGGCCCUUACUAGCUAUGAUACUUACGAUGAGCAGUCCUUGGAGCGGAUAAAGUUUGAGAAGGCCCUCGAUGGCUCCUGGAUUAGGAGAGUUGAGCGAGCUCCAGCAUAGGCCCGGGGACAAGGAUAGAUGCAUCCCGGAGUAGAGGAGGAGGCUGAGAUCAAAGAGAUGGAGGAUGGGUUAGACCCAAGGAUUGAAAUAUCGAUAAAUAUGGAUAUAUCGGUACUUGGAUUUUACGGAUAUAUCGGAAAUAUCGGAGAAAUAUCAAUGGAUAUUUUUCAUCAAAUAUCGGUGAGACAAAAAUUAUCCAAAAUUGAUGGGAAUGCUUAGAAAAAUCCAAAGAAUGAUAAAAUAAGCAAGAAUAUACAUGUUAAAGUUAUUUUAUGAGUGUAAUUGACAUAAAUAUGGUAUAAAAAAAAUAUAUAUCGGUAAACAGUUUACGAUACUUGGAUUUUAAGAAAAGAAAAUAUGAAAUUUGGAAUUGUACACUUAAAAAGUUAGAAUUGAGUUAAGAAAUAUUUGAUUUUAUUAAAUGAAAAAAAUUUACACAUAAACAUAAUACAUAUGACAUUGCAAUGGUCCUUAAUACCAAAAUGAAGAUCGAUGUGGUUCCAUCAUAUUGUUAUUGUUAGAUGAAGGGAGCCCAUCUUGUUGAAGACAAUAUUCAUACCAGGACAUGGAGUUUCGAUAGUAUUGAUUGUAUGUACUAACAUGCCAUGCAUAAAUUUCUUGAGUCCUACCGACAACCUGUCCAUGGAUGGGAAAUCCAGGGUUUUCCCAUGUGCUCGUUUGAAAUCCUUGUUGUUGCAGCUGAUGUAGAAGGUAGUAUGGAAUUUGUGUGGAAGAAUGAUAGUUAUACCUUUCAUACUCUUCAUCAGUGGAACUUGAAAGAUUUUGAGGAGGCUGACCAUAACUCAUUGCAUAAGGGGCAUAAAUGUUGGCUUCAUUUGAUGAAUCACUUAAUUGAGUCUCUACACUCAUCGACUCAAAACUGGCCGACAAUGAGUCCUCGUUGUAUGGCAUCAUCCUUCGUUGUCUUCCUCUAUAUGGCUUUCCAAUGGCUCCAACACCUGGACCGGCUCUUCUAGAGCCGUGGUCUUCAUCUUGAGUACAAUGUGUGAAAUCAUCUUCACUAAUAAAUGCCAAUGGUUGUCCACUUUGUUGAUGUUGUCUAACAUCCCCUUCAUCAUUUUCAGGGUCGCUACCAUCAUUGGUCCCCUCUCCUCUUGAAUCAUCAUAACCGGAAGCGGAAGUACCAGUAGCACUAGGUCUACUACUAUGUUCAACACUCGUGGGGUCAAAAGAAGGUCGAGAAGUGACUACCAGCUGAGAAAUUCCUUGUCGAAAUGAAUCUUUCGUGUCUUGGUUGAAACUAUCAAUAUGAACUUCUUCGGAUAACACUUGAUCAACAUCAACACCUGCUUCUCGGACAUGUGCGGCAAUUCGUGGGUCGAGAUUUCCAUCUUCAUCAUCUAAAUGAAGAGGUCUAACCCAUUGAAACAAUUGGUUAUCUUCUUCUUCACCAGCCUCAGUUGCAAUAUCAAGUAAAUCAAGGUAAUCUUUCUCUGAAACUUUGUCAUGUUCUGCUUCCAUGUCACGUAUCUUUAGUUUCAUGUUAUAAUAAUAGAAAACUAAUUGUUAGAGCAUCGGGUAAGCAAGCUGAUUUCUUUGUUUUGUAUGAAUUAUGGAAAACAUGCUCCAAUUUCUCUCACAAGCUGAAGAUGAUGCAGUUUGCGAUAAAACCUUGAUGACCAACCUUCUUAAUGUAGGAGUGUGAUUUCCAUACAUGAACCACCAUUCAACUACAACCAAAUAAAUGAUAUCAAUACUUAUAUUGGAAAGCUAUAAUAAUAUGCUAAUGAAAUGAAUUAUUAAUUCACAAAUAAUACUCACCGAGAACCAUUUCUAACCUCGAAGCAAUCACUGUUUGAUCACCGAAUCCUCUUUUUGCAUCUCGGAAUAGUAUAAUCUACAUAUUAAAUAAUUGAAAGUGAAAAAGUUGAGUAAAUGAAAUUAAAUUAUUUAAUUUAUAUUAUAACUCUAAUAAUUUACCUCAUUUCCAAAUUGACUAAAACCUUCUGAUGUAGGAUCUAAUUUCGCAAAGACUUCAUGGACAACUUGAAGUAGAUCAGGAUCAGUACCAACUCCAUGUUUAUAUUGAAAUCUUGGAUUAAGAAAGAAUGCUACAAUAGUAAAAUAGAAAUGUAAAAUUAGAAUGUUAUGAAAGAAACAUAUUAAAUACCAAUAAAUUUCAAAGAUGAAUAAUACUUACCUGCUGCAUGAAAAGGAUGUUUAAAAGUUCUAUCCCAACGAUAUGCAAUUAUUUCUAACACCCAUUCUUUAGCAUUAAGUCGAAUAAGGUUCUCUUUCAUAACUCGAAUCAAUUCGUACACAAAUGGCAUUGUAGGAACAACUUCUGAAUCGACAAUGCGAAGAACUGUGUAUAGCGCCUCAUAUAUUGACACUAGCUUUCCCACUCUUUCCUAGUAUGCAUGGUCAAACAUAAGUGAUUCAACUUCUUUGCCGAUUAAUGUGCAACUUAAGUUGUGUUGUGCCCAUUCAUCACUGAUAAAUAUUUUCUUCAAGUUUAUUUUCUUUUUCAAAAGACUGUCGAAGGCUAUAUAAUUGGUUGCAAAUCUUGUUGCUCCAGGACGAACUAUGUCUCCACCACACACCUUCCGCAUCUGGGUAAGCAACCAACCAUGGUUAUAAAUGAAGUUGGUUAUCUUUCGAGCCUUUGUAAUCACAUCUGCAACACUCGUCCUUUUACCGAUAUCUUCGAACAUUAAGUCGAUGCAAUGUGCUGCACAUGGAGUCCAAUAAAGAUUGUAUUUCUUCAUUAACAACUUCCCCGCCUUCAUGAAUGCCGACCCAUUAUCUGUAACUAUUUGGACCACAUUUUGUUUGCCAAAUUCCUUGAUCACAUCCUUCAACAAACCAUAUAUGUAUUUGUUGUCCUUUAUAUUAUUUGAUACAUCAACAUAUUUGAGGAAGAUUGUGCUACCUUUUGAAUAUACCAUGAAAUUAAUUAUGCUUAAUUUCGUGGGCCCAGUCCAUCCGUCAGACAUAAUCGUGCAUCCAUAAGUCUUCCACUUUUCUCUUUGAAUAUUGACAUAAGCUUCUAUGUCUUUGUACUCCAUAUCCAAAUACUCGUGUUUGAUUUCAUAAGGAGACGGUGGUUUUAUACCCAUACCUACCAUCCAUAUAUAAUUAAAGCAUAUAAGAACAUUUGUGGCAAUCAUACUAUAUAAAUAGUAAUGAUAUUGUUAAAAUGAAUACAACUUUUAAAAUUAUAGUAAUUACCUGCUUGUUGUGCACCAACAAUCAUGUUCUUGAAGUGGUGAGAGUCUGUUUUACUGGGCGGAACACUCUCAUAUAUGAAGAACUUACUGAUCAAACGUCCCAUGGUUUCCUUGAUGGCACCACCUUUGAAAAUAUUUUUCAUAUUUUUAUGUCUUGCUACUGAAGAUUUGUACAAUGAGGGUGCAUCAGGCAGUGAUGGAUCUAAAUAUCGAACACUUUGCGAUUUUCGCAUUUGCCUUGUUGUUGGAUUGGUUGGAUGUGAAGACUUGCCUAUUAUAAUUAUUAAAAUUAAACAUAUAUGCUAAUUUAAUAUUAUUGAUAAAGUUGAUAAGAAAUAGUAAUAAUUCAAAUUAAUAUUAUACCUGUUUUUAUUUUGUCUUUUAUAAAAUGUUCUUCUUAUUGUCGAUUCCAUUCAGCAGCUUUUGAUGCUCGAACCGCCUCUCUAUAAGCAUGUCGCUCACCAAGGUGCAUGUCAGCCAGAUACAUAUACACAUCAUCAUCUCCAUCAUCAUCAUCACCACCAAGGUUCUCCUCAUCGUCCUCAUCAGUUACAUGCUUAUGUCUUAUUCCCAUUGUGUCUCGCAGUUCAGAUCGAAUCUCUUCUAUAUCUGUAGCUUUCUUCGCUUUUGCCUUAUUUUUUUGCUCUAGAAGUCGUCUUAUUUAUUGUUUCACUUCUGGAGGCAUGUUAGGACACUUUUUUGUAUUUGAAUUAGGGUCUGUAUGUGAUAGGUGAAAUUUAAAACGAGUAAUCCCACCACUCUUUAUUGCCAACCCACAGUAAUUGCAUACUGUUCCAUUUUUGUCCCCUUCCAUAGGUGUACAAUAUUUCCAACAAGGAUCUCGACCCAUGAUACCGCUUUCACUAGCCAUUUUCUAAAAUUGAAUUAUGAAACUAAUAUCAAAUUUAAAAUUAUUAAAGAUAAAACAUGUAAGAAAUUUAAUAUUCAUGAAAUUGAUAAGAACUAAUAAAAAUUGAAAUUAAAAUUAAAUUAUGCAUAUAUGAAAUAGAUAAACAUUACAAUAAAAUUUCAAUAUGAAUUAAAUUUAAAUUAAAUUAAAUUAAAUUUGUAUAUUCAUGAAAUUGAUAAGAAUCAUUACUAAUAAAAAUUAAAAUUAAAAUUGAAUUAUGCAUAUAUGAAAUAGAUAAACAUUACAAUAAAAUUUCAAUAUGAAUUAAAUUAAAUUAAAUUUGCAUAUUCAUGAAAUUGAUAAGAAUCAUUACUAAUAAAAAUUAAAAUUAAAAUUGAAUUAUGCAUAUAUUAAAUAGAUAAACAUUACAAUAAAAUUUCAAUAUGAAUUAAAUUUAAAUUAAAUUAAAUUAAAUUAAAUUUGCAUAUUCAUGAAAUUGAUAAGAAUCAUUACUAAUAAAAAUUAAAAUUAAAAUUGAAUUAUGCAUAUAUGAAAUAGAUAGACAUUACAAUAAAAUUUUGAUAAGAAUUAAAUUAAAUUAAAUUUGCAUAUUCAUGAAAUUGAUAAGAAUCAUUACUAAUAAAAAUUAAAAUUGAAUUAUGCAUAUAUGAAAUAGAUAAACAUUACAAUUACAUUUCCAUAUGAAUUAGAUAAUAUCAAUUAAACUAUUGUAGACCCCCCUCUUUUGGUCUCGUUUCUUUUUUUUUCCUCUACAUAUAUUAUGUUUGUUUUAGCCAUUGCGGAAGCACCUGGAAGAGGUGUUAGUGCCUUGAACAAGUGGGGGGACCUGGCUGUUUGGAGAGAUGAGCUGCGUGGAACACGUGGUGGAGCAGUUGGCCACAGCCAUGGUGGUGGUUGGGGCUCCAGUUUGCUGAGCAGAGGAACAGUAUAGUAGCUGAUGGCUUGCAGGAAAAGCUUUGACGGAGAAGGAGGACAGAGGAUUUUUAAGAGGAUCCUUUUGAGAGUGCUGGCAGGGGGGGAUCUUGGAGGGAAAGGGAAGAGGAGAAGUAAGUUUUGAGGAGAAAGGGGCUUUCAGGUAUGGCCAUUUAUGAUUUUUCCCGAAUAUUCUGAUCUUUCAUAUCUUUCCCAUCUUACUCUCCAUGAUUCCAGUUUUGCUUGAUGAGUUGUUUUGUUUUGAUGAUUGUUGGUUUAACAUUAAAAAAGAUGGCUGUUUUUUUUGUGUUUUACCCGUGCAAACCUCUUCCAACUUAACCCUUUGAUCGUUAAGCUCAUGGAUGAAAGAAUGAAACGAAGUUAGCACAUUCAUCAAAAGGUUCCCUGCUAUGUUUCUCCAUUUGUUCCCUUUGCUUGAGUAUGUGAGUAUUGAUGCUAAUAGUAGCAAGGUCCCAGCCAACUUUGUACAAUAGAGCUCAGAUGUUGCUCUAGGGGUUCAUGAUCAUCCUGUCAAGUGCCUAGGAGCAAAUGAUGCCCUUGAGCUUACGUUUCUAAGUCGUGUUCUCCCUACCAAGCUGGAUACCCUCCUUGCUAAGGACGGGGGGACGAAACCUAUUAACAGCCGAAACCCAAUGAUAAGAUCCAAGUCACUGUCGAGUAUCUCAAUGAGAAGGAUGCCAUGGUUCUUUCUUCGUGUACAUGUUGUUCCCAUCUCCACCCAAGUUGACUAAACUGUCAUCAGUGAUGAGAUUGCUGCCUACACUAAAUAAUACAUCAUCCAGCCGGUUAUUCAUGAGAAACAUUAAGAUGAGAAGUCCACCUUCCAACACCCAUUAAGCCACUCUUCACACCCAUCUUCUCUCAUUAACAUCCUCAUACCCCUCCCACCACUUCGUGAUUCAUAUCCCCAUCAUCCCCAGCCGUCCAUGCUAUCAAUAAUAUCCCCACUUAUCUUCAUACCCAUUUGUUCCACUAUUCGGAAUCCCCAUGCAUGCGAAACUGGACGCGGAAGCCAUGAUAGCAGAGAUUGUGAUGAAGAACGUGGAAUGCGGUACCCUGUUGCAUGAAGUGAGCAUGGUGGAGCGGCGGUUUGAGGAGUCGACGAGGAAGAUAGAGCUGUAGAAGAGCUUGCUGGAGGUGUUGGAGUUGGAGAGGACGAUAUUGCUGAAUGAUAACGUGCGGCUGGGGCGCGAGAUGAGUGCGCUGAUUGAGGAGAACAAGGGGCUGUGGAGGUCCCGGCUCCUGCUCCGACGCUGGAGGCGCUGAGUCCUCCAGCACCGCCGGCCGAAGCUCCUAGGCCACAGCUAGAUGCGAUCCCAUCCAUCUCCAUCUCUGCCAGGUGAGAGUAGGGCAGAGAAGAUCACGUGCGUGAGGUAGAGGGUAGAAAUGGAUAAAGGGCAUAGAAAAUGGGCUACAGCAAUGCAUGGAAUUGUUUGAUAAAAGAAAAGAGAAAUGGGUUUGUUGACACGUGAAAGAACUAUGCACUUUAAAAAAACUCUCCCUGUUUGUUUUACAUAUUCUCAAACAAUGCUUAAAAAUCCCUUAAAAUUUUAAAGUUAAAAAUUUAUUCACUUAUUCAUGUUUUUCUAUUCACUUCAAAUUCUCGAAACUCAAUCCUAAAAUUUAAUUUCUUCAAAGUUCAAUCUCCAAAAUAACUUUUUUUUUAGGUUCUAAUUUUAACUUUAAUUCUCCAAAGAUCCAAAAUUUUAAAUUUAACUUUCCAAAAAUCCCACAAUUCCGAAUUUAAUUUUAGGUCUUGUAAAUUAGUAUUAUUAUCCCAUAUUUAUUUAUUUAAAGUCCAAUCCUUCAAAAAUCUCAUUAUUAUUAUUAUUAUUACUUCAACUUUCGAAAUCAAUUUAUUCUUAUUAUUAUUAUCAUUAAUCCAAACUUUCAAAAUCCUAUUAUUAUUAUUAUUAACCCAACUCUCAAAAUAUUAUUAUUAUUAUUAUUAUUAUUAUCAUUAAUUCAGACUUUCGAAAUCUUAUUAUCAUUAUUAUUAAUUCAACUUGCAAAACCUUAUUAUUAUUAUUAUCAUUUCAAAACCUUAUCAUUAUUAUUAUUAUUAUGAUUAUCAUUAUUAUUAAUUUAACUUUUAAAAUAUUAUUAUUACUGUUUUUAUUAAUUCAACUUUUAAAAUCUUAUUAUUAUUAUUAUUACUAAUUCAAUUUUCAAAAUCUUAUUAUUGUUAUUAUUAUUAUUAUUGUUAAUUCAACUUUCAAAAUCUUAUUAUUAUUAUUAUUAUUAUCAUUAUUAACCUAUUAUCAUUAUUAUUAUUAUUAUUACUAUUACUAUUAUUAUUAUUAUUAUCAUUAUUAUUAAUUCAAUUCCCCAAAUCUUAUUAUUAUUAUUAUUAUUAAUUCAACUGUCAAAAUCUAUAUUCCCGUAGUUUAAUUUCUCAAAGUUCAUUUCUUAUCAUUACUGUUAUUAUUAAUUCAAUUUUCAAAAUCUAUAUUCUCGCAGUUUAAUUUCUCAAAGUUCAUUUCUUAUCAUUACUAUUAUUAUUAAUUCAGCUUUCAAAAUCCAUAUUCUCGCAGAUCAAUUUCCUAAAGUUCAUCUCUCAUUUUCUUUGACGAAUUUCAAUUUAAUUACCGAAGCUCUAAUCUUUCAAAGUUAAUUCCAAAUACUUCAAUUUUCAAAUAAAGUCUAAUAAUCCAGUUUUCACUCGAAUGGUUUUAAUCCCAUUUCAGUCCCUAAAUAAUCUUCUGGUAUUCUUGAUUUUAUAUAAGCAAUAGUGAAUUCUUCAUAAUUCUAAAACACGGAAUUUGUGAGACUGGUUCAUGAAUAAUAAAUUGGGUUUUGGUGGGAGGCACUAUGUUUGAUCCCUAUUGAUUGUCAACUGUUGUGCUUAAUGUAUUUUUGCUUGAUCUUCAUUUUGCACCCUGAUAUGCAUGAGUUAUAAUUUGUAUUCAUUAAUUAUGCACUAAUCCUGUUUCUUGAUAGCAAAUUGCUGUUUGCUACCCAGGUACGCAUUCACUCAUUCUGAUCAUUCACUAUACGUAUUCUGAUUCUCAUAUAUGCAUGAUUAAUGUGAGUAUCCAUUGACUUUCUUAUUCGAUUGCCACGUCAGUUUCACUUUAUUAGUAGAGACCCGACUUUAGGGACUUUGAGGGGUGCUAUGGUCUCUACCGUACCUUCCCGAUAAGUAACCUGACCCUCGAACCCGAUCCGGUUUUUCACAGACCACCUUUUCCAAAACAAGGAGUCGCACUUAGGGUUUUUCUUUCUUAUUUUGUUUACCCUUUAAAAAUAAAACAAAAAUAAGUGGCGACUCCAAGUCAUUUUCAAAUAAUCAAUAAAAAUCAAGUUUUCAAAUAAAAAUCGAGUUCGUCAUCGAGUGGGAAACGCAUUGAGCCGAAAUGCGGGGUCCACAACUAUAUAUAACAAAUAAAAUUGAAUUAUGCAUAAUAAAAUAAAUUUUAUGAAAGGUAAGACAUACCUUAAUUAGCUUUGACUUGGAGUUAAUCCCUUUCACCAACAAAUUUUCAAAAUAAAAAAAUUUUGCUAGAUCAUAUAAGAAUUUUGAUGUAUGAAAUGGAAUGGAAUGUGGGUAUUUAUAGGAAUUUUUUGGUCAAACUACUCGUUGGAUGGUCAAAUAGCCGUUAUAAAUUAAUUUUAACCGUUGGAUCAAAAUUUGGUUCAAAUUUCACCAUUAGAUCUUCAUAUAACCGUUGGAAACACUCCAUAGCCCUUGGAUAAAGUGAAGAUUGAUUUUCCACCAUUGGAUCACAAAUCUGACCAUUGGAGGCCUUUAUAAACACACGGGUGAAAUUUGGGCCAUCAGAUCCUCAAAAAUUCAAAUUUGGCCGUCAGAUCAAAAUCCUUGAAGCUGUAAAAAAAUCACCGAUUAAUCGCGAUUUUCUCGGCAAAAAAUCGUUGAUAUAUCGGUAAAAUAGCUGAUUUUUUGGGCUCCUCCUCCGGCUUCUUCGUGCGUGCCUCUACUCGCGAUUUUUCGUCGAUUUAUCGGUGAAGCACCGAUAUUUGGCCGAUAUAUCGGCGAUUUUGCCGAUUUUUCCGUCGAUUGAUAAUCGGUGACGAUUAUUAUUUCGGUGCCGCCCAAUAUCCGAUAUUUCUCCGAAAUAUCGAUGAUAUAUCCCGAUUUUUCAAUCCCUAGUUAGACCCUUAGAGGGAUUUUAAGUAGAGAGGGCCCGAGCUUGACAUUUCUCCUCCACCUCAUUCAGAUGGUAUUCAUGUUGAGACCACUUUCUUAGAGCCUAUGAUGAUUGAGUCGUCUUACACUACAGGAGCAUCAUCUCAGCCAUCAUUCACCGAGCUUCCUCACACAGAGAUACCAUCUCAGGCACCUCACGCUUCUGAUCAUGCCCCUUGGAUGGAUGUAUCAGCUCAUAUCAGCUUCCUUGGGACUCCUAUGGAGGAGCUUGCUUUAGUCAAUGAUACUCGAUUCUACUCUAUGGAGGAUCACAUAGAUCAGUAUCAGACUGGCUUCACUUCUCGUUUUGAGCACUUCCAGCAGAGAUUUGAGCGUAUAGAGGAGCGUAUGGAUCAACAGCAGGCUACAGUUGAGCAUCUCCAGCAAAGUAUUGAGCGCAUUGAGAGUCGCCAGGCGAGUUAGCAUGAGGAGAUGAUGGCUUACCUCCGCUCCGUGUUUCCAUCUUCACCCCCUCAGCCUUGAGUUUAUCUAGAGUUCCCCCUCAAUUUCUUUUUUAUGUUGCUAAAGGGGGAAAAAUAUCUAGGAUCUAGGAAACCCUCAUGCAUAUCAUUGUCAUAUCUAUCUUGAUUAGCAUAUAUGUUAUGUUUUCGUGUACAUGUGAGGUUACCAUAUAUAUGAUAUGCUAUUUUCAUGAUCCAUUGUUUCCUAUUCAAUUUUUCAUGCUUUACAUUGUUUCCUAUUGAAAAUUGAUUGAUUGAUCCAUGAUUGGUUUGAGGGGGAGAUUUUUUUUCUCUCCUAGAUAACCAAGGUUGGUCAUCAUAAAAAAUGGGGAGAUUGUUAGCCUAAGGGCUCUCCUAAUCGGGUUUUGAUGAUAACAAACCAUGGUUAAAUGACUAAUUGGUUUAAUGGUUAAGAAUCUCAGGCAUAAACUCGAAAAUUCAUCAAAUGACCAAAUGGAUACAAGAUCGAGACAUUUGGAAGACUUGUGAUCAUAGGAAACUAAUGUAAGAUAAAUACAUGAGUGCACUUAGGAUUUUCAUACCGUUUCAUGCAAUUUAGAAAACUCGGUUUAUUUUUUAAAACUUCGAUUUCAUUAAAACCCGAGUUUUAACAAAUGUACCUUAGGCAAAAUGUUUUAAAAUUGGCAUAAUAAUUCACCUAAAAACCUUGCCUAAGUGUUAGAAAAAAAAUGAAUUCAAAAAGAUAGGUUUUUAGGGCCAAAAGGCUCAACCGGUUGGAGAACCAGUCGACCAAUUGCCCUUCUCCGGUCGAGGAAUGCACAAAAUUUUCUCUCUCACAGUAGCCUUCUCUUCCCAGUCGAGGUUAUUCUCUUCCCGAUUGAGAACUGGUCAAGGUCCGGUCGAUGACCGGUCGAGGCAACGGUAUCCUGUCAAGCAUUAAAUGCUCCAACGGCUAGUGAACCGGUUGACCCCUAGUUCGAUCGGUCGAGGUUACCUUUUGCUGUUUUUGGCUCCCGAGCUUAGAAACCUAUAAAUUGAGAGCUCCACUUCAUUUAUUGACGAGAGAACACUUGCAACUAAUUGUCUACCUACCUGUUCUUGAUCAAAAAGCUUUCAUUUCUUUCUUAGUGCAUUAAAUCUUCAAUUGCAUAUCCUUUAGUGCACUCUUGUGUGUCAUCCUAGCUUUGUCUUAUAUUUGAGCUAUCCUUAAGCUAGGUUGAGGGAUUCAUUCUUGUAAAAAUCGAGUGUUAAAGCCUUCAAGAGGUUUAAAUCUUGAAGAGAUUGUGUAAGAGCCCAUUGGAGCCGGAAUCCAAGUGUAAGAAGAUUGGAAGCUUGGUUGAAACUUUAAGUUAGUGGAACCCUCACUCAGUUAGGAGAUUGAGGAGAGUGGACGUAGGCAAGAAAGUGCCGAACCACUAUAAAAUCCGAGUUUGAAUUCUUUAACUCUAUUUCUUUAUUUUGCUUAUAUUUUGCUUGAACUCGUUGUGAUCGAAAAGAAUUUAAAAAAUCCAAUUCACCCCCUUCCCCUCCUUUUGGGUGUUUUUCUUAAUUAAGCAUAGCCUAUAUUUUCUCAUAAAUAAUCUCACAAAAUCCUAGUACAAACUUUAGCCUCAAAUUAUACAAGAUAAACUAGGAUUGAAUGGUGCACUAAUGAUAUGUAAGUUUUAAAACAAUGUGUACUAAAAAACACUCCCCUAAGGCUCAAUUAUAUUCAAGAAAGGUUUAAGAAGGUUAAACUCUUGAAACUAUAAAGAUUGAAGCGUUUUUAUAGAAGAGAAAAGCCAAACUACCUAUUGGGGGUUCGUCUGGUCGAGCUCUGGUUCGACCAGUUCACUAGCCAUUAGCAUUUAAUGUAUGAUAGGUGACCAUUGGGCCUUGACUGGUACUCAAUUGGAUGAAGUUCAACCUUGAUUGAUCGAAUAAGCAUUAUGGAAAAGAGAUAAGGUUUUUGCACCCUUCAACUGAGUAAGUUGAAUAAGUCGACUAAUUCCUCAUUCAAUUCAACCAAUUAAGUCAUUUUUUGCUAAAAAAACCAUCAUUUUCAACUUAAAACCUUUUAAACAAGUUUGGAAAGCAUUUGACAUAAGGUUUUAGUUGAAAACAUGAAAUCAUCCAAUUUUUAAAAGAUUUAAAACAAAAUAACUCUUGAAUGAUUUUAGUGUAUAAGUAAAGAAUGUAAUGCAUGAAAAACCCCAUGCACUAACAACCUUACAAAGAGAUCCUAUGAGGCUUAGGUCUUGAAAAAACACUUAUCUUUAAGGUUUUCUUCUUCUUAUUGAUUUUAUCUUUGUGAUUGCCACUUUGGAAAUCAUCUUGCCUAGUCACACUUAAAAUAUAAUCAUUAGUUCUAAACCUUGUUUUGUUAUCAUCAAAACUAAGAUUAACCAAACCUUGGUUUCACAGUAUGAAUAUUGUAUCUUUAGAUCUAUAGUUAAUAGUGGUUUUUAUAGUCAUAUGUUUCUAUUGUGAUAAAUUUAGAGAUGCCUAGGGAUAGAUGAAUGCACCCUAUGAGAUCUAGUGCAUAUGAAUGGAGUAAUCUGGGGUUCCUAACAUAGUUUAGGCUUGUGCUUCAUAGAGCGAUAACAAUUCUUCAAGCAUAGUUAUGCUUUAGAAAUUUGUUAUUGAUUGGUCCAAUUUUUAGACCAUCUUUAGCAACAAUCUUGUGGGCACCAUUGAUAUAAACUUGUUAUACAAAAUAUGAUCUAUCACAUUUUUGGCAAGAACUUUCCACUAGUUUUGUGCAUGGUAAUGAUCAUGCAUGCAAACUUAACUAAGUUAUACACUAGAUGCCAAACUACUACAAUUCUUAUACACCUUCCCAUUUUGUGCAACCGAACAAUUCAACAUCAUAACACCAAAGUUCUUGCUUAGAUUUCCUACAGUGCUAAAAUUUUGAAAUGAUUAAUUUUUUUAUUUUCCUUUCAAUACCAAGACCCACAUACAUCAUGUCAUGCCCUAAGACCCACUCUAAGGGCAUGACAAUCAUUUCACAUCUCAAGGUAGAAAGCUCAAAGUGUAAAUUGACCUUAACAUUCAUUUUGUAACUGGAAAAUUAUCAAUUACCAAAUUCAUAUUCAAAGUAGUAGAAUAAAAUUCUAUAAGUUUCAAAUCUCAACUUUAAAGCUAACACAUCAACUAAAGUGUUAUUGUCCAAACAACUUCAAACUUAACAAUUCAAGCAAUCAUUAAAUUCUAGCUUUCAAAAAAAUAAAGUUUUAACCAAAAGUCUUAAUAUUGCCAAAAUAUCAUCCUAACGAUCACUCCUAGCCCGAAUUAAGGUGCCUAAAAAAUUGUCAAUGAAAGGAAAUGAGAUCAACGCUCAAUAAGGAAUAUUAACAAAGUUUCAUGGAUCAAACAUUUUUAAUUAUAAUUCCAAAUAGGAGAUAUAAUAUAUAAUCAUUUUCAUAAAAACUUUUGAGUUUAAAUAUAAUAAUACAUUCAAAAAUUUUUAGCUAAACAUUUUCAUAUCUAUGUCAAAACAAUUUCAUAUCAAAUUCAAAUCAAAUAUAUACAAAAUAUUUUUAUUUUGGUUAUCAAAUAUCACAUGGUGUCAAGUUAGGUGGGACUUUACAAAUUGGUGUCUAGCCUCAAAUUUUUUCAUUUCAAGGUGGAUGAAACCAAACACUACUAGUAUUAUUAACAUCUAACCAAAUGCCUAAAGGGUGGAAUCUAAAGCAAUUACAUGCCCCGCCAAGAAAUAUAAGGUCAACAAUUAUAACUAGUUAACUAAGGACAAAAAUAAACUAGAGUCAAACACCUUAUUUCAUUAAUUCAAACUUACAAAACAAAAACAUCAUAUCUCCAUAAUUUUCAUUUUUUAUAAACAAAAGAAAUGUUCUAACAUAUUUUUUUCAUGAAAAAUAUAUAUUUGAUCCAUGCAUAAAAAUAAAAAUAAUUUUUUUUAUUAUUCAAAAUAACAUAUAAAAGUAAAUAUGUUCUUUUGGCCAAAACAUGUAUUAAUUUUUCUUACCUCAAAGAAACACUCAAAGACCUUGAAGCAAUUAAUCCUGAAGAAUUUCACCCCAAAAAACAUAUUUCAUACCUUACAAAAAAAAAACAAAAAAACAAAAUUACUAUUGAUUAUUUAUCUAAUAAUAGUUUCGUAUCUCAUAUCACCUAUAUUAUUUUUAACUUCCUAAUAAAUAACAAUUUAAUAAGUGAUUUUCCAAAUUUUAAAAAGUUAUGUUCUUUCCAAAAUUUAUUCAUAAUAUUCUAUUAUUAUUAAUUAAAUCUCUCAAAAAUAUGUUUUUUCUAUUUAUUGCAUUAAACUAUUAUUAUUAUUAUUCAAUUUCAAUUUGAUUAAUUGGUUUUUUCUUUUAAAUUUUUAAUUUAUAUAAGAUUCUUGUUUUGAAAAUCUUCCAUAUUUACUUAUUUGUUUAAAGUAAAUUUCUCCAAAACUUGUUCCUUUUUGUUAAACAAAUAUCUUUUCCUAUUAUUAUUAUUAUUAUUAUCCCUAAUAUUAUAUUCAAAUAACUAAACAAUAAUAAUUUAAAUUAGUGAGUUUCCAAAUUUUUAUAAAACUCAUAUUCAUUCUAAAUCUUAUCAUAUAUAUCUAUUUCUUUUAUAUAAUUAAAUUAAAUUAAAAAUUUUACUUAAAUAUAUAUAUAUAUAUAUAUAUAUAUAUAUAUAUAUAUAUAUAUUAUAUUAUAUUAUUACUUUCAACAUCCUUCUACCACCGAAACAAUUACCUCAAGUAAAAGUCAUCUAUCCUUAUUCUACUAACUACCCUCUCUCUUGCAAUAGCACACUUAGGGAUGGCAAUGGGGCGGGUUCAGGAUAGGUCACCCCCAUCCCAACUCCACCUUGUUUAUUCAAAAUAAUUAUCAUCCUCGUCCCAUUUAAAAAAUUAAAUGAGACGGGGCGAGUAUGAUAAAUUCUCAUACUCGCCUCGUCCUGCCCCGUUUAACUUUUUUUUGAAUUUAUUUAUUUAUUUAUUUUUAAAAUUACUUUUAAAAUUUUUAAUUACAUUAAAAUAAAUAUAUUUUAUAAAUAAUUAAAUAAUUAUAUUUUUUAUUACUUAUUUUAUUAAAAAUAUUUUAUUAUUAUCUAUAUAUUAAAAAUAGUAAAAUAAAAAUUAAAUUAAAUUAAUUUUAAAAAUUAAUUUUAUAUAUAAUUGGGGCGGGGUGGGACGGGGCAAUACCCAAACCUGCUUCGGGUUUUAAAAAAAAUUCUCAAACUUGUCCCAAACCCGUUUAUUAAAAUUGAACUCCGUCCCAUUAGGGACGAGGCGAGUACCUCGAAAAAACCUGCCUUAUUGUCAUUCCUAAGCACACUUUCAUUUUUUUUUUUUCAUUUUUAUUGCUUUUAUCUUUUUCCUCCCUAAGAUCAAUCAUAUUGUAAGCACCCCUUUUUUUUUUCUACCACAUCUUGUUGCAAUCAACCUUGUAAGUUUUUUUAAUUUAAAUUUUUUUUCCACUAUGGAGGCACGUACAACCAUAAAACCCCAUCUUUUUUUAUUUUAUUUUUACAACUCUCAAAUCUCUCAACCUCCAUACUAUUAGGUUUUAUUCAUUCAUUUAUUUAUUUAUUAUUCCAUAUCCAAAACUAUAAUUAAUUUUCUUUUAUAUUUUUUUAUUUUAGAUCUAUUAAUUUGAAUAUUCAAAAUUUCUAAUCUUUACUAAUAACUCUAAAGCAUUCAAAACUAAUUAAUAAAUAUAAAAUAUUAAUCUAAGGAUUAAAAUCUUAUAUAGAAAAUUGAUCUUCAAAUCUUAAACCCCCAAAUUUUCAACCUUACAUUGCGUUGUCUAAUAUCUCAAAUCUCCAUGUAAAAGGGCUUUUGAAUAGAGUAAAUAAGAAAAAUUUAAUUUAUACCUAAAAUUUUUAAAAUAGAGAAAAAUCUUUCUACCCUUAUUAAUUUAAUUUAAUUAAUUUUUUAAAAUUAUGUUUUUACCCUUUAAUUGGGUUUGGGCAUCACACAUCAUACUAAAAAGUUAUCAAUAACCGUCCUUUGAGGCAUAUUAGCAUAAAUUUGCAACUUUAGUUGUGUUCUAGGUGCAAUUCUAUUAUGUUUAAUUGAAAAAUAACACACAUAGCACAACCAAGCCUAAUUGAAAGCAUUUGGGCAAAUAAAUGGUAAAUUUCUAAAAGUUCACCAAAACAAAAAAAAAGAUCAUAGAGGGCAUAUUUUUCAAGUCAACCUAGUUUUGGGAUAGCCACUUUCAAGCCUAAUGAUGUUAAGAUGUCUUAUUGCAAUCCAAUCUAAGAAUGCAAUAAUAGCUCUUUAAUUCAUAAUUUUAAAUUCACAAAAGAUAUCACCAAAAAUUACCAUAGGUUACCAAAGCAUCAACAACAUACAGAAAGCUUAGAAAUGCUUGGAACCUAUCGGAUUUUCACUUUUUAGGAAUAAAAAAAAAAAUCAACUUUAAGGAUUUUAGGGUAAUACUUGCUUGAACCAUCUUUCAAUCCUUUUGUUGGUGGUGGGCCUUUUACCUAUAGGAACAGGAAUAAGAGGUGAAAAUGAGGGAGCCUUAUGAAAACAGAUCCCUAGGGCUUAAGAAGGGGUUUUCAAUUUUAGGGUUUGCCUUUUCACCAAGGAUGUGAAUGGGAAGAUCAAGUGAAGUUAAGAGAUUGGUGAAGCAAAGUGAGGGCAUGGUAGGGUUUGAAUAAGGGAAAUUCUACACUAUUAAUGAAGAUGAUAAUCUCGAGAAAGCAAAGCUAAGGUAAACUAGGGUUUUAAUAACAUUUUUCAAUCUACACUAGUGAAGACGAUAUCUUCGAAAACCAAAGCUAGGGUAAGCUAGGGCUUUAAUAAUGAAUUUCAAUCUACAAUGGUGAAGAUGAGAAUCUUCGAAAACCAAAUCUAUAAUGGUGAAGAUGAUUGAAAACUAAAUCUAUACUGGUGAAGACGAUUGUAAAGCAAAUCUACACUAGUGAAGAUGAUAAUCUUCGAAAACCAAAUCUAUAAUGGUGAAGAUGAUUGAAAACUAAAUCUAUACUGAUGAAGAUGAUUAGAAAGCAAAUAUUCACUGGUGAAGACAACGAAACCAAAGGUAGGUCUUCUAAACUAAACCCUUUUAGGGAUUUUCCAUUUUUUUUCCUUUGUUUUCAAGAAAGGUAAACUCUCUUGAAAACCAAAAAACUAAUGCAUUCUUAAAUCCAGAUCACCAUUUUCAACAUAGUAUUUGGAUUUCCACCUUGCAUUUUUUAUUUUUUAUUUUUUUUAAUAGUCAAGGGCAUUUUAGGGAUUAUUGAAGGAUAAUAUCAAUAAGCUCAAUUUCCUACAUUAGUUAGGUCUUAGGCUCAAAUGUGAAACUUAUAGGGAUGUUAGGCCAAUUAUCAAACUUACUUGCCUAAAGCAUAAUUUCCCCUUUUCAAAAUAGUUGUUAAACAUCAAUCCCAAACAUGUGUAACCCUUUGAAGUACUUGUAUGUCAACCUUGUUUCCUUUCCCUCAUGCAACAUGACUUAUUGAUGGUUGCAUUGAAUCAUUAUCAUUCACCAAAUCCAUGCAACUAUGGACUACCUUUCAAAUCCCUUGAACAUAAAUGGUAAUUCCAAAACAACUCAAGUAUAAUCUUUCCGGCCUUUCAAAUGAUUUAAUUAAUUGAUGUUUGAAUAUACUUCAUAUAUUUUUUUAGAGCAAUUUUUAGGCAUAUGACAUAAAUCUCUAAUUUUUUUUAUUUUUAUAAAAGGUUUUAUAUUUUAUAUUACAAUUUCCUCUCUUUUUUUUCAUCUAAAAAACAAAAUAUAAAACCUUAAUAAACGAGUUUUGUCACAAUCCCUUAAAAGGUAAUCUAUUUUUAAAAAUUACUUUAACCAUUUUAGAUAUAUUGAUUCAGUCUAAUUUAAUUUUAAUAUUUUUUAUAAAAUAUUUUUAUUUUAUAUGAUUAUAAAUUAAUUACCAUUGAUUGCAUAUUAUAGAAUAUAUAUUCUAAAAUAUAUCCUAUUGACAAUAAUAUCAUAAGAUAUUAUAUCCAUAUCCUAAUAUAUUAUAUACUUUUAUUUUGUGCAAUUAGCAACAGGGUGGAAGACGGCUUAGGCGGGAGACGGCUUAACGGAAAUGUCGUCUGCCAUGCGUGUCCCUUCCCUUAGUGAGUCUGAACAGCUCCAACAUUUCUGACACGCCCUUCUUCGGUUAGCUCUUAAGUAUUUUCGUUAACCCCAUCACAUUUCGCCAUGUGGAUCUAAGCCUCAUGGUCCUUUCGUUCGUACUAUGAAUAUAUUCCUUAUCUAGAGUCUGGAUCCUUUAUCUCUGCACGUGUCUAUGGCUCUUCACCCCAGCAAGUAUGGCAUUACAAGGGCAAUAUCGUCAUUAAAGACCCAAAAGGCAAACGAAUGGCAUUAUCUUCCUUUUGGGUCUAUUCUAUUUAUAUUUAUAUUGCAAGUUAUUCGUGAUGACUUCUCUCAUAACAGCUAAAAACCACUCCAACAGAGCACACUUCACUUCUUCGUUUUUGUCUUUCCUCUUUUUUUUCCAGAGAAGCUGAGAAAGCCCAGCUUGCCCUCAACUCCCCGAUGGGUUUGAUGAAUGUUCUCAAAUUCUCAGCUGCAUGCUUUGAUCUUCUUGGCUGGUAUGUUGUCCACGGAUUUUCUCGUCAUUGGAAAAUGAAGUGGAAUUCUAUGUUUGAGGACAAAACUGGGAUUUGCUUUGAUUUCUCCAUGUUGGUUUUAUCCCUUUCCUUUGAAUUGUCCACAUUCUUGUCAUUGGUUGUUAGUUAUUUGUUUGGAUUUCUACUUGCAGGCCUCUGUUUGCACUGGGUUAUCCUCUGUAAGUCUUGGUCUUACACCCCAAGAUAUGAUCAUUCAUUUACUCUUUUCUUGUUCUAUGAAUUCUUAGUUCUGUUACAUUUAUUGGGUUGGAUUAUUAGUUAUUAUAUUAAUAAUCAUCAACGUCAUCUCGGUUCUUCACAGAUGUGCUUCAAUUCGGGUAAUUGAGACUAACUCAAUCUCAGACGUUCGGAAGUUGGUGGCGUAUUGGGUUCUAUUUUCCUUGGUUUCACUCUUUGAUCAUACUUUUGCCAAGCUCCUUGAAUGGUAAUUUUGCUCAACUGCAUUCCACUAUAUGUGGCUCUAUUUCUUUCAUUUCUCUGCCCUUAAGGAAUUUGGAGUUGCUUUUUUCAGUUUUCUUCCCUGUGAAAAUAAUCGAGAUGUUUAAUGUUCCAGGCCUGCAUGCUCAAGGAAGUGGUGUCAGCUUUGGAAAUAAGAUGGAUCUACUAGUUUUUAUUUCUCAUCUUUAUAGGGAACUUUCCAUAAUCACAGUGAUGAAUAAUUGUCUUGUUUGAAAGCAUGGUUGCACUUAUUUCCAUGGAAUUUGUCUGCUGAGAAACAAAUGGAAAUAGAAAAUUCAGAAUCUGACAAGUUUGUGUAGGGCAACUGGAUCUAAUCUCUUAGUCGAAGCUUAAUUGGGGCAAAUGCUGAUCAUCUUUGGACCAUUGAAGGCUCUAAUCUGUGCACAAUUCUAAUGUUUUUGUUUUCUUCAUUUCUUUUUCAACUGUUCAUAAUAGAUGUCAAAAGAUAAAACCGAACUUAUGUAGUCCAUCCAAGUGGAUGCAUAUAAAUUUAACAGAAACUGAAAUUCGAAGAAAUUUAUUUAUUUUUUUAAAUAUUUUAUUUUCUUAUAUAAUGCAUGUCAGGAUACCAUUCUGGCCUUACAUAAAGCUGAUGGUCAUCUGCUGGAUGGUGAUACCGCAUUUUGAUGGUUCAUAUUAUGUCUAUCAACACCUAGUUCAUCCAUGCUUGUCCAUUGAUCCACAAGUUGUCAUGAAUUGGCUUUUCAAUGAAUCAAAAAAGAAGUUUCAUAGCAGAGAAAACUUUCUUGUUUCAGCAGACCAAUAUAUUAAGGAGAAUGGACCUGAAGCUUUGAAGAAACUACUUGCUAGGAAGGUAUGCCAUUAUAAGUAGGAUUAUCAACAAGUCAAACAGAGUUUUAUUUGAGAUGUUCAAGUAAAAAAUGACUAUAGCAGGUCAUCUAGAAUUAUGUGGUCUAAAUUCAUGUAUAUAUCUAUAUAUAAUUGUGUUCUCUUUUUUUCACAUAUGCAUGUGCAUUUAGAUUUACAUAAUUAUAUAUGCAUAAUCAGAUUCAACUGUGAUAGCCCGGGAUUUAAUUCAGUAAUCAACUCUUCUGGGAACAUGUUGGUUAUGGUUUCUCUCUCACUGUCCUCUUAUUUAUACAUGACUUUGGCUUCAGUUGAGGAGCACAAAGCCUAAUGUUGAAGUGAAAGAGAUCAAAGCACCUGCAGCACCGGAGAAAAAAGGGGAAGCGGUAUGCACUCUAAUGUGGCUAUUUUAUUUCUAUGGAGGCAGAUCCCCAGAAAAAUGUUGCUCAUGUAAAUUAGUGAUGCAUUUAAAAGAAAAACCACUUUAUGUAUGUUUCUGUGAAAAAGAGAACAAGUUUAUGGAUUAAGUGAUAUUUUUUAUGGUGAAAUAAUCAAUAAUUUUCAAAAUAAUAAUAUAUUCGUGCAUGUUUUUGCAAUUCAUGAAUUCCUUUUACGAUUGAUUCUUCUCACCUCAGUGGAAGUGUGAAGAGCCUAAUGUUGCAGAAAAGGAGAUCCAAGUAGUCAAAGUAACAGACAUAAAAAAUGGGGGGAUGGAGCAAAGAGGGUAAGUUUUCCUUUUUAUUUAUAAGGAAGGCUGUCUUCACACAAGGAUUAUUGUUAUUAUUUUUAAGACAUGAAUGUUGAAUGCAUUUGGAAUUGUCGUUGAAUCAUGUGAAGUGUGAAGGUGCAAAUGGUGCUAAGAAGGAGAUCAAAGUGAUGGAAGUAACACAGAUAACAUUUGGUGAUACAGAACAGUGGGUAAGGUUUCUUGUCAUACUUAAACGGCACCUCAUAUUUCACUAGGAUUAAUUUUGGCCUACAAACAUAUUUGGCUACAAGUUGAAGACAGAUUUCCAGAUACUGGUAGAAGUUGAGACAUAAGUAAUGAAUGAGUUUAGAAACAUGCACAACUCUUGUGUGAAACACAAUGAGAGUGGAAAAUAGCUAAGUUGAAAAAUGGCCAAAUACUAUUUUGUAGUUCCCCCCACCACUUAAGUAAUUUUUGUCAUCCUUUGUGAAUGGACAAUGCAGUCCCUUCAGUAAUUCCGCUAUAUUCAUGACUUGGUGAAGCAUAUAACCAUUAGUGUCUUGUCCUAAGUUGACCUUUAAUGAUGAUCCAUUGAGAGGGAUCUGACUUUUGUCAACCCUCUUAGAGGUUAAACAUACGGGGCUUAACCCACUUUUCAAUCUCAUUGGAUAUAUGGCACGUGGUAUCCUCUUCAUCUUGAAAGAGUGAAGUGGUCAUACUCUUUCCUCCGAGUCCAUCGUGGCCAUGCACUUCUGGCUCAUUGGGCUGAGUGAAAGGAUUCCCUUCUGCUUCAAAUCAUAGAGAGAUAUGCCAUGGUCAGCCUCUUUAAUUUGAAGGAUUGAAGUACUCAAAUCCAUUUCUUUGCAUCCAUCUUAGUCCUGCUUCCAUGUCUCAUGGUUAACCAGGAAGAUCAAGCUUCCAUCCAUGAGAUCAGCAUCUGCAGGGUUAUGACUCCACCCUUCCUUGGCAUAGGAAAGCGAUCAUUAAGCCACAUGUCGGAUGACAGAAGUCGUCAUUCAGGUUAUCUUGAGAACUAGGGAAGUUGGAAUUCUAAUUAUUGCAUAUGGUUCUUGAUGUUUAGCCAAUAUACUAUAGGAUUUUAAGCAUCAUGCCCAUGUGCAUUGUGGUUUUUUAUCAGCUAUAUGGUUUACCAAACUGAGGGAUUGAUUAUAGUCAUAAGUACCCUUUUCCCAUUAAUUUCUUGCAUGUGCUUUGCUGAGAUUAUGUUUUUGACAGUGCUAAUCAGGGCAAACCAACAAACAGCUUUAUGUUAACUUUUACAAACUGCCACAUUUUCAGGUUGAACGAUCAGACAUAAAUCUUGGUGAAACUAGAAGUAAUACAACCUGUGCUGUGGAGAUAAAAGAAAGGGCAGCAGCACUGGUGGCUGCAGAAAUUGAGGCAUGUAGAGACAAUAGAACCCCCGAGAUACCUCUGCAUAAGAAAGUCCAGAAAGAGUGGGCUUGUGCUGUAUGCCAGUUCACAACCCAAAGUGAAGUGACCUUCAAUUCCCACCUUCAAGGGAAGAGACAUCAGGCCACUUCUGAGCAGUUGAGAGCCAAAAACCAGGCAACCAAAACCAAUUGUUCCCCAUCUGCUUCAAAGGCCAAGAAAUCUGAUCAGUCCACCAAAGAGGAGCAACCAAAGUGUCCUUCCAACAAUCUGAAUUCCAAAAACAAUGGAAUCUCAGCUGCUUCAACAGUGAAGAAACCUGACGAGACCAAAGAUGAUGAGCAACAAAAGUGUGCAUCCAGCAAUGGACCAAACCAGAAGAAUAACAAAAAGCAAGAGGAGAAGGUGCUAGUUCUUGAGACCAAUGAGCAAGGCCAUCAGAAUAAUUUUGAUCCACGAUCCCACAUUUAUUUUGGGUCUCACAAGUUUCAAAUUUGCAGAAAAAUGAAAGAUGUUUGAGAGAAAAUUAAAUCAUAUUGCACUACUGUUAGGAAAAAUAUGGCUGAAUCCAAUUGCUUUUCUUCUCCAAGUCUAUUAAAAAUAUAAUUUUUUCUCCAUUCCUGACAAAAUUUAAAUUUUUUCCUUAAAAAAAAAAAAAUUAAGUUUGAUCACCUAACACAUCUUUCUAAACUCAAUCUCAACUUGAAAAAUCAAACCUUAAUGGAUGGACUAUAGAAAUAGUGAGAAAACACUUCUGGGGUUUUUUUUUUCUUCCAACAUCAAAUUUUUCUAUAUAUGGGAUUUCACAUGCAAAAGCAGGAGUAGAUUUGCUUGUGUUUGAUGUAUGUAUUAGAAAAAUUUGUCCCUUCUGGGAUGUUUAAUACUUUUCUAUUCUUUUAUAUGCAUGUUUAGCUAGAAGAUAUAGAAUCGAUACCAUUCCUUAAAAGUGAUAGCCACAACUGUGAUAAUUAAACACCAAAGAAUGUGAAGAUCUAUAUAUUCUUUUUUUUUUCCUCUCUCUUUCAAUAAUGAAGCUAAGAUGUGUUGUAAGCAUCAAAUGCAUUGUCUCUGCUUGAAUAUAUACAAAGCCAAGGACCACAAGAUGGAUAGAUAUGGGGACGCACAAAACUUCUCAAACAUGAUUAUAUUAAUCAAGAAUUCAACUAAGCUUAAAUUCAAGAUGUUGAUUUCUAGCAUCUCUGGUGCUAUAGGAUGACUAUUGAUCCUGUACUGUUAUGUGCCCUACUGAUAUAUUCUUCGGGUUGUUAUGUAUAAAUAAAAUUUUUGGGAAAGUUUGCUUGGUGGUUACACUAUCACUAUUUAGGCCAGUAAAAAUUGGAAGCCUUUGUAAAAAACUGAUGGUCCAAGAGCUAUUCUACUUCAUCAUCCAUGUAAUAUGACGAUACAAAUUUGACUAAAUGCAGCUAUAGAAGGCUUAGGACCAUAAACCAAGCCUAGUCGAUGUCACUCACCUAAAUUUAUGCAUAAAGCUUUUGGAUGGCUCAGAGUUAUAUUUAAUUACUGUUAUGUUCGCAACUAUAUUUUCAUUGGAUUUAUAGUCCAGCUUGAGAACUAGUCCUCCAUUGCACAUAAUGUCCACACAAGGCCACAGUGCCCGCUCAAAGGCCAUAGCGCUACUCAAGGAUAUAGUGCUUACUCAAGGCCAUAGAGCCCACCUAAGGCUAACGACCCAAAAGGAGAAAAAGGUUGGUUCCACGUACUCUAAUAUUUACUAGAAAAGGUUCUUCCUAUUAAAGAACAAAAAAUUGCAUUCCCUUGUGACCAAUCCAAACAGUAGACCACUGACUUGUAUAAGGCAUUAUUCACCAUGCAAGCACUUUUUCAGCAACCUACCAUCUGGCAUGAACCAUUUUGGAUUGAUUCACAAAGCAAUGGUGUUAUAUUAAGCAUAUUCAAUAUAGAACCAAAUUGUGCCUCCUUAGAUUAACUAAAAUAUUUCCAUUGCAAGAUGUGCAGAUAGGCAUAUGAUCAUGAAGUAAUUUCCUGAUGAUAAUACCCCACAAAAUAUUUCUUUUUCUCACUGAUCUCUCCUAGAUUUUCAGUUCACCCAUCCAUGGCGCCUGACUAAAAAUGGGGGCAUUUUGGAUACCCCGAGCAGUAAGUUAGCCUGGUAGGCAUCCCGUUGCAAGCAAAGUCAACCCGAGCGGUCCAUUUGACCAAAGCUUAUCCAGGCAGUAAGCGUCCAUAUACAGCUAACUGUUAUGCACCAUCAACAGGUUGAGGUUACAAGAUUAAAGAGUCAUAAUGGCCAAAUGGAAGUUACACGACUCGGCCUAUAUAAUAACAGUAUGACAAAAAAUGCAGGUAUGAAGAACUAUCACUGAAAAAAUUUAUUCCUAAAAAUCCUUUAAGCUCCUUUAAGCUAACUUGGGCAUUGGAGAGGUCUCUCCGAAGCACACUCGAGCUUACCUUUUUGUAAGACAUCGAGAACAAGAGGCAUUGAAGUGAUUGUCCGGAGGGUUGAACUUGGUCGGGAACCAACAAUACACACUAUUCAAAAAUAGGGAUCAUAUUAAAUUAUUAAUGCAACCAUAGGAAGCAAUUGAGGACAAGGGUGUUAUUUGAUUAAAAGGGUAAUUGAAAACCUAAAUUUUGAAAUUUAACCCUCCAUUCUAUUUGGCCUUAUGUGAACAAAAAUGCCUUCAUUAUUUUCUUGUAAAAAUAACUCACCCAUUUAAACCUUACAUGAAAAUACUUAAAAUGGUAAAUGAUAUGUUAAAAAUUGAUUAUUUUUCAAAUAAAACAUAAGAAGGGUCAAAUUCAUGAAAGGAUUAUUUCAUCCCUUUUAAUCAAUUAAUUCGAUUUAUUUCUUUUUAUUUUUUUUCUCUCCAUGUUAAUUUUCACAUCACCCAACAACACCACUCUUAAUUCACACAAGUUUGAAGUUUUUGAAUGAGAUAUAUUCGUAAUUAUAUUGUAAUUGUGUUAUAAUAACCAUUUCGUACUUGGAUUUGUUCUUUCAGUCCAUUUAACCUUUUUGUUUAUUCAUGUCAAAACAAUGUACUUAUAAUCGAAUCCAUUUAUGACAUGUUGAUCUUAUAUAAAUUUAUUAAUUUUAUAUAUUUAAAAAUUAUAAAAAUUAAAUAUACUUUUUCAAUUAUGAAUAUCAUAUUACUAAAAUAUUAAAUAACAAAUUAACUUGAAAUGCUAUAUAUUUCAUUAAUUAUUUUAUAAUUAAAACAUUAAAUGAAAUAAUAAACAAGUAUAAAAUAGAAAAUUCUAUCUUAGUUAGAAAUUAUAAACUGUUAUUGAGACAUAUAAGUAUUAAAAUUCUACCCAUUUCACUACCAAACAACUUAUGUUUUUAGUCAUAAUUUAACCUUAUGAUGAACACUUAAAUAAAAUUUGUCAUCUUUUUCUAUUGAUUUAUAUUUAUUUAUUUAAAAAUUUUGUCUGGCAUAAACUAUCAUCUCACAAAAUCAUCAUUGAUGAGUAGGCUAUGCCCCAGUGUAAGCAUCUCCAAAUCAAACAUCAAUGAGAGGAGUACAACCAAUCAUACAUCAUCUUAUCAAAAUGAAUCUCCGCUUUUCAAAGUCAUCGUGGUAACGUGAAGAGAGUAUUUGACCUCCUCUAAAGAAAAAACAUGUCUUGAUGUGAAAAAGAUCAAGCAAAGUGGUAUGCCUCAACAAAAAUGUGCUCAAACAUGAUCAUGCCCCGAUGUAAGUUAGUAUCUCUAAGAUCAAUCGCCAAUGAAAAGGUUAUUCCCCAGUAUAGGGCAAACUCUGAAAUGACUAAACUCCGUUGCAAGCUCUCAUAAGUGUCUGUGUCAUGAUCCAAUCAUCGCAAAAAUUUGUCAACAAUGAUGAGAAGGCUAUGCUCCUAUAAUCACAUCAAAGAAAUCACUCGGUCAUAUUACUCCAAUGUGAAAGAAAUCUAAUCACCUCCAAGGAACAGCUAUGCCUCAAAACCAUCAUCGACUGAGAGGGGGAUGCCCCUGAUCCAAUCACCACCCUAACUAACGUACCCAUCAUGAGGAACACUUGUUUGAGCUCCAUAAUGGGGAUCAACCAUUAGAUGAACAAGAUUCGAAUAUUACUUGCUCCCCAUUUCAACCAAUGAAUGAUGUACCUGGAAACCUUGUAGACAACCAUAGUUUUCAGCCUUCUUCCUCGCGAUCAUCUAGAACAGAGUCGGUAAGCUUCACUCAUUUCUUAUAAUGGACCUUGACCCACAACGUCGAACUACCUGUAUGCAAAAUUAUCCGUCCAGAAAACCCAUCCAUACAAUUCAGGUUCAAAACCCACAAGAACCACCCUAUGAAUAAACUAAUUAUAGCUGGCUUCGUUGCAAUAGGCAUUAACUUUCUUAUGCUGACAGUCCUAGCAUCAUUUACCAAAGGAUCAACAACUUUUCCAUGUCAGAGAACAUUAUCAAUCACAAUGACACCCCUGGUCCUCACUAGUUGCGAUAGCAAUUUAAAGUAUUCUUGAUUCAAAGGGUAAACAAAACAAAAAAGAAAACCCUAAGUGUGACUCCUUAUUUGAAAAAUGUGGUUUAUGAAAAACCGGAUCGAGCUUAGGGGUCAGGUUACUUAUCGGGAAGGUACAAAAAAAACCGUAGCACCCCUCUAAGUCCCUAAAAUGGGUCUCUAUUGAUAAAAUGAAGCAAUCAUGGCAAUUGGUAAGGAAAUCAUUGAGUAUCAACAUGAUCACACAUUGAGAGUUAAAGCAUGCAUGAGGAAUGGUCAAAGUGAGAAAGGAUGCGUACCUUAGCAACGAGUCCCAAUGCGCUAUCAAGAAAUUGGGUUAGUGCACAAUCAAUAAAUAUAAAAUAUAACACACAUGCAUCACUAAAUAGGGUAAUAAAUCCCCGAUGACAAACCUUGCACUUCACUCAGGUUUAUUUCUACUUCUCUGAUGUUGGGCCCCACCAAAGCUCAUUUUAUUUUGCAUGAAUCAACUCCAAUAACUCCAUUAUUCGGAAUUACGAAAUUUAAUUCUUGCUUAUUUUAAAGCAUUUUAAAAAUAGAGGAGAUAUGAGAAUUGCUCGCCAGAAAAGAAGAUGGCGGCAAAAUUUUAAUGAAAAACGAGUUUUUGGAACCUAAGAAAAAUGUUAAGGAUGGAAAAUUUUGGAGGUUUGAAAUUAAUUAAAAAUUAGAAUUGAGGAAUUUAUUUACAAAAUGGGGUUUAGGAAAAUUAUUUUCAAAAAAAAAAAAUGAUGAAAUGAGAGAUGGCACGUGACACAAGGGUGGCCAUGCUGAAGGCGUUCUCUUCUGGCCCAAGCUGGAAAUGCACUCCAAUUAUCCUUCUUUUCUGGUAUAACACCUUCAUCAAAAUAAAUAGCUUUUGCACCAUACUCUGAUAGACAAGGACCAAUAACAAUGCCUAUAUUUGCCUUAAGUAGACAAAGUAAGUCACCCAUUGAACCUCCAAUAUAAAUUGUCAAGUGCUCUGUGUCAUUACUGCAUCCCUCCUUCAAGAUGUCCUUAGAAACCUAAAGCUUUUCCACGACAUACUCCAUCUUCUUAAUGAUUUCACCCGUGGAAAUGGAUUCUUCACAAGCCAACUCAUUUGAAUAUACUCUCAAAACACCCAUAUCACCUGAUGAAAAUGCUGAUCUAACGAAAUCGCCACACCAACAGUAUGAAAGUCCAUGAACAUCUGCUUUCAGAUUAUUAUUUUUAAGAAUCUUUUGGAAGAAACCUGUGCAACCAUCUUGAAGAAUUAGACCUUGACCAACCUGUUUUAUAUCAUCUGAAUUUAAACCCUUCAAUACUCCAGACUGAGUCACUCUUGAAUCUGCCUUUUCCUCAAAAUCAGAAAGUUGCUCAAGUGCUUUACAUAAGCCUUCAUAAUUGAAUUUUUCCACUGUUUCACUGGGGACGAUGCUUCCCAUGCAUUUUUCAAGCUCUUCAGUAUGCUGGGUAGAUAGAACACCCCAUGUGUGUGUCCAGAUCACCAUGAGUGACCAUUUGAACCUUGACGAAUGAGAGAGUACAUAACAUUUAAGCACACAGGACAUAUAUUAACAUUCUCCAUUAGCUUCUCUUUGCCUUUGUCCACCUCUUGACCUCCCAUGCAGCCAACUGUGAAGACCACGUCCAGGUGCAGUCACGUGGUGACACAUCUCAUGGUCUUCCUCAUCCAAUAAAUCACAUGCUCUGUUAAAUCUGCUACCCGAAUGGAUACCUCCUAUCCAUCAACCUGAAUAUACUCCGAGCUUUCUUCAUAAAACCCAAGAAACUCCAGAAGGCAUCAUGGUUCUCCUCCAUCAUUGAAAUGAUUAGGGAUAGUAAAUCACUCAUCCCUUAGCAAUAUCCCAUUUUUAAACCAUAGGGUGCGUAGGCUUCUAGAAUAGUAGCAAAGUGAGCAACACGGAAAAUCUUGCGUGGAUCCAAGUUCCAUGAUGGUGAUCGUAGCCUCACCUUUGAAAUCACAAGACCCAGAACCCAUUCGUUCUUCCUGGUAAUAACUAUCAGAUGCAUAGGAGGCAGGGUUCUUCAGAUUGUUGAUUUGGUAAAAGCCUCUUCUGGUUGAACCCCUGAAUGAUUCACUUUUCUCAGUCCGCAAACCUAGUUCAGAACAGCCCGCAAGAUCAGAACCUUAACCUAGGCGUGGAGAUCCAGUGUUGUAUAACGCCUCAAUUGUCGGAAGCAGCCAUGGCCCAAACAAUGAUAUAAUGGUCAGCAAGUUGUCCCCAAGGACCAUGACAGUGAUGAGCAUUUCCGGGCAGCGCGUCACCACGUUCCACGUCGCGACGGUAAUGGCUAUGGACUGAGUGUCAUGGUCAGGGAGCUUGAUGAAGCAGGUGAAAAUCUGGUGUUUUAGAUUCUGAGGCAAUGACUGCUUGAUCGGUCGGAUUCUAGUACCGGCGUUACAUUGGGGAGGCAAUCUUAAAGUUCCAACGGAGGUAGUAGUGGACUAAUAUUCCUCAAUAACCAAACUUGAGUUUCUCACUUUCCGCUUCUCAAGGCAUUCACCUGAAACGCUUCAGGCGCCCAAACCCUUUCUGCUCAUCAGUAUAAUCACGCGCAUGAAAGUCUUAACUGCCUUCUAAACUUCACAACUUCAUCUUGCAUCUGGGUCAUCGUCGGCACGAACUUAUCACCUGAUUCAGUUAAUAUCCCCAUAUAACAAGUUCCAAUGAAGUCGCAACUUUGCAUCUUCUUUUCUGCGAUUACUUUGAUUCUCAAAGCCGAUUACUUGUUGCAGUCCAUAGGAGAUUCAAUAAUCAAACAUCAUGCACAAGCAAAAAGGCAACAAAAUACAUCGGCAUGUGGCCCAUACACCCUCCAAAAUCUUCACUCAUUUAGUAAGUUUUAGAUUCAAAAGAGUUAGCCUUCUGGUGAGCAACCCGAUACCCAUAACGAAUGAUGUAUCUGAAACACCUUUCCCACGUGGCCCUUGAAGGAUUCACUAGAAGGUGACCAUGCAUAGUAGGUCUUCACUCGCAGGAGAAUGAGAAGGAAAUAAACCUAAAGGGGGGUUGACAGCGUAGUCUAGAAGGUGAUGAGCUGAGCGGGUGGGGGUAUUAGGGUGGUCAAGUUCAGUGGGUAUGAAGGGUGGAAAGAUGGCAUGAUAGAGGAAUAAGCAGCUGAUAGUGGGUGCGAUGAUAUAAGGUAGGUUGACUAUGGAGAGUAUGGCAUUAAAGGAUGAAGACUUAGAGAGAGAGAGGUGGGUUUAAGGGUAUGGUGAGAUGGAGGGUUGAGGGUGAUAGGCUUGGAUAGUUGCAUGAGGAGGAUGAAAGGUGGGUAUGGAAAAUGUGCAUGGGUAGGAAAUGGGUAUAACAAUGGGUGUGAAUAUUGAGAGGUAGUGAAAUGAAGGCAGCCUUGCUCGUAUGGAUCAGUGUCGGAUUGAGUUAAGAAUGGUGAGAGAAAGGGAUUCGAUGAAUAUUGAAUGAUGGAAAAUGGUGAUUGGUUAGAUAGGGAUUUGUGGUCGAAUGGAAAUAGGAGACAUGAACAUAGAGAUGAGUGUGAUGGAUGAUAGUGGGCAUGAAGGGUAUUGGAUUUGUUCAUGGGUAUAGUGGUUAAAAGAGUGGUGAGAAGAAAAAAAAAUGGCCAUGUAAAUAGCAAUUAUACAUGUGGGCCCGUGAUUGCAAACGGGACUGCAUUGUUGCAUCUCAUGCUGAACCCUCACCUCCUUCUAGGAUCAUUUUCUGCAUCAAAGCUAGAUAAACUUAGAUGGUAUUUCCUGCCAAUUUUGGAUGCCCCCCACUUUGGAAAUAUUUCCUUUUCACCCAUCAGAAUAUGCUUAUCAGGUGUACUUGACUCAGGUUCAUUCCCAUAUUGCCUCUCUGAUUUAUGAUCUUCAAAGGUUUUGCAUGAAGGAAGCCUUUCACUGCAUUCCCCUUCAUCCACCAGACCUUCAGAGCAUCGUUUCCAACAAAAGCAACCUUGACUCUUCUAGUCCCAUCAGAAAAAAGUCUGAAUAUCCUCAGUUUAUGUCAUCCCUUGAUGCCCAACUCAGAAAUGAUCCAAAAAACAGUCAUCUCCCAUAUUUGGCUUCCCAGAAACACCUCGACUCAGAUGGCCAGUCCAAAUGUGAUACCCAACAUUCUAAAAAUGCUAAAAACAGAGGAGAUGAUGAAGAAAAACAGAGCAUGUAUAAAAGAAAAAAAAAAGGACUGUUAAAUCUCACUCCAUUCCAUAAAUGCUAAUGGGGUGGAUAUGGUGGAAUCAAAAGGAAGCAAGAGCGUGAUCUUCAAAAUCAAAAGCAAUGAUGGAUCCAUAUUCAAAACGUUCCAGAAUAGAGAAAGACACAAAUAAGGAGCAGGGUUUUUUUUUGUUACUGGCAGGAAGAUAUUUUUUCUAGAGAGUAACUAGAGAGAAAAAUAGGAAGAAAAGGGAAGAGCAUAGAAGACAUCUACAUAGGAGAGUAUUCAUUGUUGUGAGGAGUAGUAGAGAGCUUAGGAGGAGUUACAAAGAGAGUGAGUUUGGUUAGAGGAGGAAGUUUUGUUGGUUUUUCAGAAAGGAUUCUAGCUUGAGUGAGAGCCAUUCUAGAGAGGGUUAGAGAGGAGAAAGGUGUGUUUUGAGCAGCAAAGACACGAAGCAAAAUAGAGCAGCCAGGAAAGAGAAGCAGAAAAUCAAAAUUACUAAAAAAUUAGUGAAAGCUGUGAAAUUUCAUAUUGUUACUAAUUAUUAUAAUUUUUUUUUGUAUUUUCAAUAUUUCAACCAAUAUUUUAUAUAAUUAAAUUUAAAUUAUAAGAAUUAUAUUAUUAAUACACAUAACUAUCUUAAUGUUUUAACAAUGUAUACUUAUUUAAAUUUAUUUCAAUUUUUUUAUUUUUUUAUAAAUAUCUAAUUAGACUUAUAAUUCAUUGAAAUUAUUCAUUUUUUUUUUACUUCAUAAACCAAUUAUAUUACUUUUUGUAUUUUCAAUAUUCAUUUGGAAAAAAUAAUUUCAAUUUAAAAUAAAAUAAAUUAAUUAACUCUCAAUUUAUAAAUUGUGUCAUUGAAUUAUUUUUUAUUUAUAAUAUUUAGUUUAUUUUAAAUUUAAUUUUUUUUCUUCACCUUUUGGUUUAUCACUUUAUAUUAAAAAAUAAAAUAAAAUUGAAUUUCUUUUAAUUUAUAUUUUCACAAAUUAUUCAAUAUUUUUUUAAUUUUUAUAAAAUAAAUCCUCAGAUUAUAUAAUUGGAUGUUGUAAAGAGUUAAAAUUUUUGUGUUGCAUUGAAUUAUUUUUUCUAACAAAAGUAUAUUUGGGUACCGUAGACAUUAUAUCCAUAUCUUAACGUAUUAUAUACUUUUAUUUUGUGCAAUUAGCAAUUGAGCGGAAGACGCGGAGCCGGCUAACGGAAAUACCGCGUGUCACGCGUGUCCCUUCCCGUACCAAGUCUCAACUGCUUCAAGAUUUCCGACGCGCCCUUCUUCGCUUAACUCUUAAGUCUUUUCUUCCACUCUUCCUUAAACCCAUCACAUUUCGCCGCGUGGACCUAAGUCUCAAUGUCCUUGUGUUCAUACGAUGUAUGUUCCCCCAAUUCCUCAUCUACACUGAAACUCCAUACUCGCCUACUCAAUCACUUCUCUACUCUAGAGUCUGGAUGCUUAUCUCUGCGCGUGUCGAUGGCUCUUCACCCCAGCGAGUAUGGCAUUACAAGGGCAAUAUCGUCAUUAAAGACACAACAGAGUGUCUAUUUUAUUUAAGCUGUACGUAAUCGUGAUUGACUUCUUAGUAUCCUUUUGCUCCUAGUCUUCUCCCGCGUCUCUUAUAAAAACUAAAGAAAACCACUCCAAGAGAGCACACUACAAGAAUCUUCUUCCUUUUUUUCUUUCCUCUUUCUCUUUACAGAUAAACUGAGAAAGCCCAGCUCAUCCCUCAAUUCCCAGAUGGGUUUCAUGAAUGUUCUCAAGUUCUCAGCUGCAUGCUUUGAUCUUCUUGGCUGGUAUGUUGUCCACGCGUUUUCUUGCCAUUGGAAAUUUUUGGGAAAUGAAGUGGAAUUCUCUGUUUGAGGACAAACAUGGGAUUUUCUUUGAUUUCUCCCUGUUGGUUUUAUCUAUAUUCUUUGAAUUACCCACAUUCUUGUCAUUGAUUGUUAGUCAUUUGUUUGGAUUUCUACUUGCAGGCCUCUAUGUGCACUGGGUUAUCCUCUGUAAGUCUUGGUCUUACACCUCAAGAUAUGAUGAUUCAUUUACUCUUUUCUUGUUCUACGAAUGGUUCAGUUACAUUUAUUGUGUUGGGAAACUGAAAAGGAAAAGGAUUAUUAGUUAUUAUCGUAAUAAUCAUCAACAUCAUCUCGGUUCUUCACAGAUGUGCUUCAAUUCGGGCAAUUGAGACUAACUCAAUCUCAGACUUUCGGAAGUUGGUGGCGUAUUGGGUUCUAUUUUCCUUGAUUUCACUCUUUGAUCAUGCUUUUUCCAAGCUCCUUGAAUGGUAAUUUUGCUCAACUGCAUUCCACUAUAUGUGACUCUGUUUGUUUCAUUUCUUUGCCCUUAAGGAAUUUGGAGUUGCUUUUUUCAGUUUUCUUUCCUAUGAAAAUAAUCGAGAGGUCUCCAUGUAUUUUAUAUUCCUUCAUUUCUCUGCUUUGACAAAGGCCCACAUUCUGAUCAGCAGAAAGGUUAUAACAUUUGAAAAAGAAGUGCUUUAUUUUUGUUUUUUGUUAGUACAAUAAUUUUCGUUUGGAUAAAUGGUCUGAAGGGUGUUUGUGUUUGGCUGAGUUCAUGGAAUUUUCUAGCUAAUUUGGGAUUUAUUCUCAAUUUCAAGAUCAUUGUGGAUAUGUCAGAAAUUAAUGAAAUAUAAACGGUGGAAUGUGAUUUUCUUGUUUAAGAAAAGUUUUUCUUUGAAAAUACGGGUGCACCUGACCUACCUUAUUGUGCUACUUGGAACACAAAACAUUAGUACAGGUAAUUUAUUAACUAAAUUGUACACUUUUUGAUAGUUCAAGGAGGUGGUUUUCUUCUUUUAGGGUGUCAGCUUUGGAAAUAGGAUGGAUCUAAAAGUUUUUAUGUCUCAUCUUUAUAGGGAACUUGAAAGCAUGGAUGCACUUAUUUCCAUGGAAUUUGGCUUCCUUGAAAUCAAAUUAAGCUUUAUGCAUCAUUUGGAUGCUGAGAAACAAAUGGAAAUAGAAAAUUCAGAAUCUGACAAGUUUUUGUAGGGCAACUGGAUCUAAUCUCUUAGUCGAAGCCUAAUUGGGGCAAAUGCUGAUCAUCUUUGGACCCCAUUGAAAGCUCUAAUCUGUGCACAAUUCUAAUGUUUUUGUUUUCUUCAUUUCUUUUUCAACUUUUCACAAUAGAUGUCAAAGGUUAAAACCAAAUUUACGCAGUCCAUCCAAGUGGAUGCAUAUAAAUUUAACAGAAACUGAAAUUCGAAGAAAUUUAUUUUCCCUUUUGUAAAUGGUGUUUAAAUAUUUUAUUUUCUUAUAUAAUGCAUGUCAGGGUACCAUUCUGGCCUUACAUAAAGCUGAUGGUCAUCUGCUGGCUGGUGAUACAGCAGUUUGAUGGUUCAUAUUAUGUCUAUCAACACCUAGUUCAGCCAUGCUUGUCCAUGGAUCCACAAGCUGUCAUGAACUGGCUCUUCAAUGAAUCAAAAAAGAAGUUUCAUAGCAGAGAAAACUUUCUUGUUUCAGCAGACCGAUAUAUUAAGGAGAAUGGACCUGAAGCUUUGGAGAAACUACUUUCUAGGAAGGUAUGCCAUUAUAAGUAGGAUUAUCAACAAGUCAAACAGAGUUUUAUUUGAGAUGUUCAGGUAAAAAAUGACUAUAGUAGGUCAUCUAGAAUCAUUUGGUCUAAAUUCAUGUAUAUAUCUAUAUAUAAUUGUGUUCUCUUUUUUUCACAUAUGCAUGUGCAUUUAGAUUUACAUAAUUAUAUAUGCAUAAUCAGAUUCAACUGUGAUAGCCCGGAAUUAUUUCAGUAAUCAACUCUUCUGGGAACAUGUUGGUUAUGGUUUCUCUCUCACUGUCCUCUUCUUUAUACAUGACUUUGGCUUCAGUUGAGGAGCGCAAAGCCUAAUGUUGAAGUGAAAAAGAUCAAAGCACCUGCAGCACCGGAGAAAAAAGGGGAACAGGUAAGUUCUCUAAUGUGACUAUUUAAUUUCUAUGAGGCAGAUCCCCAGAGAAAUGUUGCUCAUGUAAAUUACUGAUGCAUUUGAUUCAAUGGCAUGGUUUUAAAAGAAAAACCACUUUAUGUAUGUUUCUGUGAAUAAGAGAACAAGUUUAUGGAUUAAAUGAUAUUUUUUAUGGUGGAUUAAUCAAUAAUUUUCAAAAUAAUAAUAUAUUCGUGCAUGUUUUUGCAAUUCAUGAAUUCCUUUUAUGAUUGAUUCUUCUUGCCUUUUUUCUCACCUCAGUGGAAGUGUGAAGAGCCUAAUGUUGCUCAAAAGGAGAUCCAAGUUGUCAAAGUAACAGAGAUAAAAAAUGGGGGGGAUGGAGCAAAGAGGGUAAGUUUUGCUUUUUAUUUAUAAAGUAGGCUGUCUUCACACAAGGAUUAUUAUCUUUAAGACAUGAAUGUUGAAUGCUUUUGGAAUUGUCCAUGAAUCAUGUGUAGUGUGAAUGGCCUAAUGCUGCUAAGAAGGAGGUCAAAGUGACAGAAGUAACACACAGAACAUUCGGUGGUACAGCACAGUGGGUAAGGUUUCAUGUCAUAUUUAAAUGGCUCCUCAUAUUUCACUAGGAUUAAUUUUGCCCCUACAAACAUAUUUGGCUACAAGUUAAGACAGAGUUCCAGAUGCUGAUAAAGUUGAGACAUAAGUAAUGAAUGAGUUUAGAAACAUGCACAACUCUUGUGUGAAACACAAUGAGAGUGGAAAAUAGCUAAGUUGAAAAAUGGCCAAAUACUAUUUUGUAGUUCCCCCUACCACUUAAGUAAUUUUUGUCAUCCUUUGUGAAUGGAAAAUCCAGUCCCUUCAGUAAUUCCGUUAUAUUCAUGACUUGGUGAAGCAUAUAACCAUUAGUGUCUUGCCUUAAGUCGACCUUUAAUGAUGAUCCAUUGAGAUGGGUCUGACUUUUGUCAACCCUCUUAUUCCCUUGAUCAUAGAGGUUAAACUUAGGGGGCUUAACCCACUUUUGAACCUUAUUGGAUAUAUGGCACAUGGUAUCCUCUUCAUCUUGAAAGAGUGAAGUGGUCAUACUCUUUCCUCUGAGUCCAUUGUGGCCAUGCACUUCUGGCCCAUUGGGCUGAGUGAAAGGAUUCCCUUCUGCUUCAAAUCAUAGAGAGAUAUGCCAUGGUCAGCCUCUUUAAUUCAAGGGAUCGAAGUACUCAAAUCCAUUUCUCUGCAUCCAUCUUAAUUCUGCAUUCAUGUCUCAUGGUUAACCAAGAAGAUCCAGCUUCCAUCCAUGAGAUCAGCAUCUGCAGGUUUAUGACACCACCCUUCCUUGGCAUAGGAAAGGGAUCAUUAAGCCAUGUGUUGGAUGACAGAAGUCAUCAUUCAGGUUAUCUUGAGAACUAAGGAAGUUGGAAUUCUAAUUAUUGCAUAUGGUUCUUGAUGUUUAGCCAAUAUACCGUAGGAUUUUAAGGAUCAUGCUCAUGUGCAUUGUGGUUGUUUAUCAGCUAUAUGGUUUACCAAAAUGAGGGACUGAUUAUGGUCAUAAGUACCUUUUUCCUAUUAAUUUCUUGCAUGUGCUCUGCUGAGAUUAUGUUUUUGACAGUCCAAAUCAGGGCAAACCAACAAACAGCUUUAUGUUAACUUUUACAAACUGCCACAUUUUCAGGUUAAACGAACAGAGAUAAAUCUUGGUGAAACUAGAAGUAAUACAACUUGUGCUGUGGAGAUAAAAGAAAGGGCAGCGGCACUGGUGGCUGCAGAAAUUGAGGCAUGUAGAGACGAUAGAACCCCCAAGAUACCUCUUCAUGAGAAAGUCCAGAAAGAGUGGGCUUGUGCUGUAUGCCAGGUCACAACCCAAAGUGAAGCGACCUUCAAUUCCCACCUUCAAGGGAAGAGACAUCAGGCCACUUCUGAGCAGCUGAGAGCCAAAAACCAGGCAACCAAAACCAAUUGUUCCCCAUCUGCUUCAAUGGCCAAGAAAUCUGAUCAGUCCACCAAAGAGGAGCAACCGAAGUGUACUUCCAACAAUCUGAAUUCCAAAAACAAUGGAAUCUCAGCUGCUUCAACAGUGAAGAAACCUGAUGACACCAAAGAUGAUGAGCGACAAAAGUCUGCAUCUAGCAAUGAACCGAACCAGAAGAAUAACAAAAAGCAAGAGGUACAGACCAAUGAGCAAGGCCAUCAGAAGAACUUAAAGCAAACUGGCGAUGGAAUGAAAGAGUUGAGAUUAUGCUGCAAUAUCUGUAAUGUAAGCUGCACAAGUGAGCUUGACAUGGCCUCUCAUCUCAAUGGAUGGAGGCACUUUAAUAUGAUAAAGGAGGCGUCUGAAUUAUGGUGCAGUAACUGCAAUGUAAGGUGCAACAGUGAGGCUGUCAUGGCCUCUCACCGAAAUGGGAGGAGGCACUUGAAGCAGCUGAAGGAACGGUCGGGAUUAUAGUGCAGUAUCUGUAGCGUGAGAUUGUGUUAGGAAGAGGUGGAAUGGGUUCCAAUCAGGAAUUAAGACUCGGUUCCAAGACAUGGAAAGUGUCUUUAGAUUAUGUUAUCUCCAUUUUUUUUAUUGUGAGAGGGGAGUAUAAGGAAUGAAAAUAAAUAUAUAUAUAUUUUUUAAUAGAGAUGAAUUUGAUAAUUUUAAUUAUUGUGUUUUGAUGUAUUUAGGAAUGUAAAAUUAAAAUAAUUAUUUAUUUUCAUUUUAGUAUUUGACAAUAAUAAAAUUAUGAAUUAAAAAAUAAUGUGAUAAUAAUACAUUUAUAUUUAAUUUAAAAUAUUUUUUAUUUUAUUUUAGAAGAAUAUGGGUUAAAUUCUUUUUUUAAAUAAUAAGCUUAAGAAAAAUAAUUUUUACUCAAUAAAUAAAAUUAAUCAUAAAAAGUCAUAACAACCUAAUAAAAAUAUAGGGGUAAAAUAAUAAUUUUAAAAUAUUAUUUAAGUUAUCCAAACAAAUUUGACUCUUCAUUCUCUCUCUUGAACCAAAUACGGUCUUUUAAGCGUUUGUCAACUUAUUUUUUUUUGCAAAAUAUCAAUAUUUUACUAAUAUUUUUAUCGAUUAUUUGCCAAUAUUUAUCGCCACGUCACCAAUUCUUUGAGUUUGACUUUCAAAAUUUUGAAAUGAUAUUUGAAGUCCAGUUCAGCCCAAAUCACUACACCCAUGAUUUUUCCCUUUUCUUUUUCUCCUUAAUUUUCACAUCACCCAACAACACUACUCUUAAUUCACACAAAUUUGAAGGUUUGGAACGAGACUUCUUCCUAAUUAUAUUGUAAUUAUGUUAUAAUAACCAUGUCGUAUUUGGAUUUAUUUAUUCAGUCCAUCUAAAUCUUUUGUUUAUUCAUGUAAAAAGAAUAUAGUUAUAAUCGAAUCCAUUUGUGACAUAUUCAUCUUUUAUAAAUUUAUUAAUUUUAUAUAUUUAAAAACUAUAAAAAUUAAAUAUAUUUUUUCAAUUAUGAAUAUCAUAUUACUAAAAUAUUAAAUAACUAAUUAACUUGAAAUGUUUUAUAUUUCAUUCAUUAUUUUAUAAUUACAACAUUAAGUGAAAUAAUAAAUAGGUUAAAAUAUAUAUUUUAUUUUAGUUAAAAAUUAUAAAUUGUUAUUGAGACGUAUAACUAUUAAAAUUCUACCCAUUUGACCAUCAAACAAACAACUUAAGUUUUUAGUCAUAAUUUAAGCUUCUGAUAAACUCUAUUUCCAUAAAUUAGAAACCGAAAUCAAUUUCUUCUUAGACUCAAAAACAUAAAGACAAUCUUUUAAUUCUAGAAGACAUCUAUCAUUUAAGAUAAGGGUAACAUAUCCCAUUGCCUAAACAACAACUCUUGCUUCAAAAGCCAAUGUCAAGUACAUAUCCCUAUCAUUCAACCUUUCCCUUAGCUAAAACCCCUAUAAAGAAUUAUAAACAUAAUCAAUGGCUCCAAAAUUUAUCCACCAAGAGUUAGUGGAAUCCAACACUAAACAUAAUUCAACUAUAAGAGAAUGAUGCAUAGUUGACUAUCUCUUCAAGAACUAAGGACAUUCCUUCUUCUUCUAAUGGCAUUUUUUACCACAAAGGAAACACUUGUCAUGACCCUUACUCUUCUUCUUCUUCCCCUUAGCCUUAAACUUCCCCUUCUGCUUGAUGAACUCUAUAGUGUUCUUCUUAUUUUGGCUAGAAAAACCUAAAGAACCCUUAACUGCCAUAUAAAUACCUCUCUGGUCCUUGAGAAUUCCCUCAGUCAUUUUGUGUUCUCUCAUUAGUUCAAUUGUAGUUUAAGAAAAAUAAUGUUUUUUAUUUUAUUUUAUGUGAUUGAACUUGGAAUGAAUUUCCAAGUUGCAUACAUACUUGGGUUGAGAUCAAGUCAUAACGUAGUUUAAGAAAAAGAUUUUUUAUUUUUUAUGUGAUUGAACUUGGAAUGAAUCUCUAAGCUACCUACGUAUCCAAGAUGGGAUCAAGUUCUAACAUAGUCACAAUGCAGUUCAAGAUUUUUUUUUUUCUUUUUUUGUGCUCUAACUUUUGUCAAGACUAAAGAUCUUAAUCUUGCAAGCAUGUCCUAACUUUUGUCUAGGUCACCUUUCCAAGUUUUCAACUUAGCAAACAUUUUUUUUUUUUGUUCUCUAACGUUUGCCAAGACAAAAGAUUUUAAUCUUGCAAGCAUGUCAUAACUUUUACCUAAGUCAGAUUUUUAGGUUUUCAAUGUGGUGGAUUUUUUUGUUUUUUAUUUUUUAUUUUUUAUUUUUUGUGUCGUAGGCAAUUUAGCUCAUACGGCCCAGAAGCGAUGUGUAGUUUGUUGGGAUUCAACCCUUAAAAGCAAAACAUGAUGUAACAAAGUUAGACUUAACUAUCCCCUUGCUAUCAUUUUGGUGUAUUAACAUUGAUUUAAACAUUCAACUCAUAUUUUACAUUGUACAUGACUUAGGUGCAUUAGGAGUUGCUCAUAAGAUACAUGGAUUCCUUGUAAGUAGAUGAGUUAUCCAUAGUCAGUUCAUGGAUUUGGGCAAUCUAGUAGAGACUGUAAUGCACCACCUCUUAAUUGAAGAGAUGACUUGUCUUGACAGUUGGGAUAGGUUUCCUAUGGUGAGUGCACUAGUAUAUAUGAUGCACAUUGGAUAGGACCUACGGUAAAUCAUGAGCAAAGCUAUCAAUUGUCAUGAUUCACCAAGUUACGAUACUGCAUGGACUCUCAAUCUUGAGAGGACAUUGAACCUGUGCCAAAAUCAACAAAAAGCUUUCACCUAUAGAUGAGACCUUAAAGUGAUCAUAUAUCCCUAUGGAUUGAGUCACUAUUGAUGAAGGUUGGUGGUAAUAGGUAUUCUCAAUAGAGGCACCAUGAUAUCUCAUGAGAUUGAGACGGUGUGUCCCCUUGGGUGAUACAAAGGACAUGUGAUCAUAAAAUCUGUGACCAUAGUAAUUCUUUUAUUGAAAUUUGACAUAUACCCCUUCGAGCUAGAGUAUGUCAGUUGAUUACAUAAUAAGUGGCAUCUAUAACUUAAGGAUUUGAGAGGUAAUCUUGAUAGGUGAUAGCACUACCUUGUUAGAUUAUGGACACCAGUUCAUGGGGAAUCUACAUGCAGUGGAUGAUAUGUCACGAACGCGAGCUUCAUAUCGUUGUUAUUAACAUAGGAUACUGGAGUGCAAUUGAUUCUCUUUAGUAGAAUGUUGAAUCAACUUCAAAAUGGAUUAUGAGGGAGCCAAUACUCCUAUGGGUCUUAAUGGUCCCCACUCUGAGCUCAUAUACCAUGAUGACACAGUUUAUGAGGGUUUGAUUGGCUUUAUGUUCAUUUUUGUGCAUAAGGGCAUUUUGGUAAUUACACAAGGUUACAUAGGGGAUAGUCAAUAAGGUCUUUAGAUUGGGCCAAUUGAUUAAUUAGAUGACCUUAUGUGGUUAAUUAAUCAAUUAUGAUAUGUUUAGGCUAGAUUAAAUGACCCAAGCCUUGAUGAAUUUAAGUCACUUAAGCCUAGCAGAUAACCUUAUAAAUACCCUCUUAUGGGUUAGGGUUUCCUAAUGACUUUCAGUUAAUCAUCUUCCAUCCCUAGAAAGAGAAAGAGAGCCAAAUCUUUCUCCCUUCCAUUGCCCACACUUUGGUAUGCCAAGAUCAUGGUUCAAGUCACUGGGAGGAAGAUCUUGGGUGUACAAGACCUUCGGACUCUUUAAGUUUCUUCUUCGUUGGAUGAAUUUUUAUUUGGGACACAUCUAGAUCAUAAGUAUGUGUUAGAAAAUUUGGCUAAUUCAACUUAAGGUAAUCACUCUAGAGGAGGGGUGAAUAGGGUGAUGAUCUUUUUUUACAAAUUUAAAUUAUGUGAAUGCAAGAGACAAUUAUACUAUGCAAAUAUAUAGUAAAACCAUAUAAAAAUAAUUGCAUAUAAAGUACAAGGGUAGAAAAUAGAGAAUAUAAACACAAGAUUUUUAUAGUGGUUUGGUGCAACUCGGCCUACAUCCAUUCUCCUCUAGCUUCAAUCCCAAGUUUGAGGUUCCACUAAUUCAAGGCUUCCAACCUAACCCUUCAAGCAAUACAAUUGGAUUAUGGUUCCAAUCAAACCUUUUGGACUUUUGGCUCUAAGCACCUUUUACAAUCUUUGAUUCGUGCCUAACUGGUGUUUGCCCUGUUGAUUGGUGUUCAAUCAACUGAUGUGCUUUGAUUUCAGUCCUCAGACGAGAGUAAUCAACAAAAUUUAUAAACCUAUUUCACCAUAUACUAGGGUAGCAUUAGCUAGCAUAGCAUAGUGGCUCUAGGAUCGUCCACAGGGAUGGGUUUUCAAAUUACAAUUGAUAUUAGUUCAAAAACUGAAUUGGUGUUUUUUCUUUUCAAGGUUAGCUUUAAAAGAAAACAUAAGUAUGUGUGAAAAGGUUGGUUUUAAGUGAAACCAAAAAUAAAGUAACUGAAAUUACUUACAAAGAAAAGUGCUUCUUGGAGUUUUAGAUCACUAGGCUCAAGUUCCUUAUACAAAAAGAGAGAUUCCGAUCACUUGGAUCUUUUCCUAGCAUUGGGGAUUUAACAUAUAGUUAUUUCCCGAACCGGUGCGGUACAGAUGCUUCCCCUUAAUGGUUUCAAACACUAAAUCUCUAUCACUGAAUCAUCUUGUAAUGGUUCAUACCUCUCACCUGGUAUUGGUCAUUUAAGGUGAUCAUUAACCUUGGAUUACCCGUCAAAAGCUCGCAAAAGAUAACUAAUGAAUGUCUCCUAGGAGUCCAAAAGCUUACCAAGUGUUGGCUAUUCUAGAUAAUCCUACCUUUAAACCAUCUCCCAAAAGCUCGCAAGAGAUAAACUAGUGGAUCUCAAUGGACGGAGUCCACUUGCCUUACCAAGUGUUGGCCCAAGUGAUUUUAAGGGAUUUUAAGUUAACUAAAAAGAUAAAAACCAUUAACGGGUCACACUUUCUCUUCAUUAAAACCUGAAACAAUGAAACUUCCACUUUUGUAUACGAAACCUUACCUAGCUUCCUUCACUCCAAGAAACAAAAAGCCUAGCCACUCAUCCUCUAGGAAAACAUCCUCAGAGUUUGAUUUGGUAGAAAUAAAAAUAAAAGAGAAAACCAAAUGUGAAGGUAAGGCCGAGCAGAGCUCUGUGUAUUACUUUAUGAAAAACUAUACAAAAUUUGUCUCUAAGAGAAACUCCCCCGAGAUCUCUUUUAAAAGAAAAUUACAAUAGAUAUCAUAUAAAGAGGCUAUUCACCCCUCUUGCUAACUUCCCAACCAUGAAAACUUGUCAAUGGUGGGUUACAAGGAGAAAAUAGGGAUUUACACACAAAUAUUUGAAGAUAAACAUCAAACUGAGUCGGUGCGCAAAUAUCUCAGAUUACAAGUGGAUUUCGCAAGUUCAAACGCAACUUGCAAAAAUUUUGCAAGUUGAAAUUAUGGUUUCGCAAGUUGCGAAAUUGUCCUGCAACUAAUCAGCUCUCUGUCCUACAACAAUUCCUUUCCUCUUCCUAUUUCGCAAGUUGUGAGAAUUUCGCAAGUUGGAUUCCACAACUUGCAAAAUUGUUGGAUGGUUGAUUUCUUUUGUGAUUUUCUUCCUUGCAUCCUCAUUUGGCUUUGGCAAAGGGUUAUGAAGCUCCAAAGCUUAGUUUCUUCAUGAAUUUGAGCUUCAACUUGCUUUGCCAUGAACUAUACAAAGAUCUCCCUCAUUCUUGGAUUGCUUUGGUGAUAAAAAAGCUAUGAAAAACACCAAAACUUAACACAAUUUGAUUAGAAACGAUUGUAAGGGUCUUUAACAUGCCAAUUGAGUUAAAAGGUAAUAGCUACUACUCAAAAGUGUUUAAAAGAGUUAAUUACAAGCUAUAAAAUGACCCUUUUUGAAGUUCAACCCCUUAAGUGAUACCCCUUAAGUGAUACCCCUUAAUUCAAGAGAUGUCUUACUCUUAAACAACCCCUUAAGUGAUACCCCAUACUUGAGAUUCCCUAAGUGAUGCCUCACACUUAGAUUUUUCAUCUCAAAGAUUUACAAAUGAAGAUAGGAAAUAAUCUCACAAAAUCUUAAUACAAAACAUUAGGCUCAAAUGAUACAAGAUAAACUAUGAUUGAAUGGUGCACUAAUAAUAUGCAAGUUUUAAAACAAUGAGUACUAAAAAACACUCUCCUAAGGUUCAAAUAUAUUCAAGAAAGAUUUAAGAAGGUUAAACUCUUGAAACAAUAAAGAUUGAAACCUUUUUAUGGAGGAGAAAUGCCAAACUAGUUGUUGGGGGUUUGUCCAGUCGAGUUCUGGUUUGACCGGUUCACUAACCGUUAGCAUUUAAUGCAUGAUAGGUGAUCAUUGGGCCUUGACCAUCCCUCGACCAGUACUCAACCGGAUAAAGUUCAACCUUAAUCAAUCGAAUAAGCAUUCUAGAAUAGAGAGAAGGUUUUUGCACCUUUCAAUCAGUUGAGUUGAACAAAUAGACGGAUUCCUUAUCCAGUUCAACCGGUUGAGCCAUUUUUGGCUCAACAAUCAUCAUUUUCAACUUAAAACCUUUUAAACAAGUUUAGAAAGCAUUUGACACAAGGAUUUAGUUGAAAACAUUAAAUCAUCCUAUUUUUAAAAGAUUUAAAACAAAAUACCUCUUGAAUGAUUUUGGUGUAUAAGUAAAUAAUGUAAUGCAUGAAAAACCCAGUGCGCCAACAACCUUACAAAGAGAUCUUAUGAGGCUUAGGUAUUGAAAAACACUUCUCUUUAAGGCAGACAACAUCGUGUGAAUACCAAAGGGGAACUCUACGUUCCUAGGGAAAGAUGCCUCGUCAGUACGUCUUGAGGUUGUUCACUAACUUCGGGGUUACCGGCUUUGAGAGGAGCCCUUUGAUGACAUUUGGGCAUGCAACUCUUCAUUUUCUUCCUUGAUUCGCCUUGUUUGGUGGAUCAAAGAUUGCAUAUGCCAGUCAUUUUUGCACUAGGUUCUCUCCAUGCUUUCACGCCAGCCAAAGUAGCUUUCGUUACCCAUAGUUGAGGAUCGGCUUCUAAAGGGUACUAACAUCCUUAGUCAUUCCCACAGAUGACACCAAUGUUGGUUCUGAGUCGGCUGAAGUCAAAUUCAUCCAACUUAACGGAAGUUUGACAACCUUCCUCCAUUUUUUGUGCCUCUUAGAGAAUCCACCUAGCAGUAAUGAGAUUGGGCGAACUCCUUUCUUGCACAAAAGAAUGUUCAGAUGAGUACUUCGGGUACGCCCUUCGAAGCUUAAGUGAGGCAAAAAUAGCUCAAACUACUUAAUGAGAGAGAGUGGAUAGGUGAAUAUGUGCCUACCUUGUUCGUGCUUUUUGAGGGGUUUAUAUAAUGUUGAUGAGAAUGCCACUAUAGUGCUUACUAGACACUUUAACUUUCUUCUAUAAUGAUGAUUGUCUUGCAGGCGGUUGGGCAAUCAUCAAAAUUUUGGGUGGCUGAUAGGUGCCAUCAACUAACGUGCCAUGAUCUUAGACCAUGCAGUAACCUGUUCCCUCAGUCUGUUGAUGGCCUAAGGUUAUGUGCAACAAUUAAUUGACAUGGACUUGAGGGCUAGAAGAGGUCCCAUCGGCCGUUCACAUGUCAAGUGUGAAUGAUCACUCAUGCUAGUGGGUCUUGAAGAUUUGACUAGACAACCUUACCUAUUUGGGAGGUCCAACCUCCCAUUGCCGUUGUUUUGGCCUUAUAGGAGAAAAGGGCUUUCUCAUGUAUGGUGCUAGAGGGACUAGUCGUGAUCCAGAUGAGUUGCAUACCCAUGCUAGAUGGUCGAAGUGUCCGGGUUGGAAAUGGAGGGAAGCCUCCCACAAAUAUGAGGGAGCCUUAUGAAAACGGAUCCUUAGGGCUUAAGAAGGGGUUUUCAAUUUUAAGGUUUGCCUUUUCACCCAAGGAUGUGAAUGGGAAGAUGAGGCGAAGUUAAAAGAUUGGUGAAGCAAAGUGAGGGCAAGGUAGGGUUUGAAUAAAGGAAAGUAUACACUAUUAAUGAAGAUGAUAAUCUCUAGAAAGAAAAACUAAGGUAAACUAGGGCUUUAAUAAUAAUUUUCAAUCUACACUAGUGAAGAGGAUAUCUUCGAAAACCAAAGUUAGGGCUUCAAUAACGAAUUUCAAUCUACAAUGGUGAAGACAAUAAUCUUCGAAAACCAAAUCUAUAAUGAUGAAGAUGAUUGAAAACUAAAUCUAUACUAGUGAAGACGAUUGGAAAGCAAAUCUACACUGGUGAAGACAAUGAAACCAAAUGUAGGUCUUCUAAACUAAACGCUUUUAAGGAUUUUCCUUUUUUUUUUCCUUUGUUUUCAAGAAAGGCAAACUCUUUAGAAAACUAAAAAAACUAAUGCAUUCUUAGAUCCAGAUCACUAUUUCCAACAUGGUAUUUGGAUUGCCAGCUUGCAUUUUUUAUUUUUUUAUUUUUUUAAUAGUCAUUGGCAUUUUAGGGAUUAUUGAAGGAUAAUAUCAUUCAGCUCAAUUUCCCAAAUUAGUUAGGUCUUACACUCAAAUGUGAAACUUAUAUGGAUGUUAGGCCAAUUAUCAAACUCAUCUGCCCUAAAACAUAAUUUCCCUUUUUUAAAAUAGUUGUUAAACAUCUAUCCCAAACACGUUUAACCCUUUGAAUUGCUUGUAUGUUAACCUUGUUUCCUUUUCUUCAUGCAACAUGGCUUAUUGAUGGUUGCAUUGAAUCAUUAUCAUUCACCAAUUCCAUGCAACUAUGGACUACAUUUCAAAUCCCUCGAACAUAAAUGGUAAUUCCAAAACAACUCAAGUAUAAUCUUUUCAACCCUUUCAAAUGAUUUAAUUAAUUGAUUUUUGAAUAUAUUCAUAUAUUUUUUUGAGCAAUUUUUAGGCAUAUAACAUAAAUCUCUUUUUUAUAUAUAUAUAAAAGGUUUUAUAUUUUAUAUUACAAUUUCCUUUUGUUUUUUCAUCUAAAAAACAAAACAUAAAACCUUAAUAAACGAGUUUUGUCACAAUCCCUUAACAAGUAAUCUAUUUUUUAAAUUACUUUAACAUUUUUAGAUAUAUUGAUUCAAUCUAAUUUACUUUUAAUAUUUUUUAUAAAAUAUUUUUACUUUAUAUGACUAUAAAUUAAUUACUAUUGAUUGCAUAUUAUAGAAUAUAUAUUCUAAAAUAUAUCUUAUUGACAAUAUAAUCAUAAGAUGUUAUAUCCAUAUCCUAACAUAUUAUAUACUUUUAUUUUGUGCAAUUAGCAACAUGGUGGGAAGUGGCAAGCAGCUUAACGGAAAUGUCAUGUGCCAAUGUGCCAUGCGUGUCCCUUCCCUUAGUGAGUCUGAACUGCUCCAACAUUUCCGACAUGUUAUUUUUUACUUAGCUCUUAAGUAUUUUCGUCUCGUUUUCGUUAACCCCAUCACAUUUCGCCACAUGGAUCUAAGCCUCAUGGUCCUUUCGUUCGUACAAUGAAUGUUCCCCCAAUUCCUUAUCUACACUAAAACUCCAUACUCGCCAUCUACUCAACCACUUCUCUACUCUAGAGUUUGGGUCCUUUAUCUCUGCACGUGUCUAUGGCUUUUCACCCCAACAAGUAUGGCAUUACAAGGGCAAUAUCGUCAUUAAAGACCCAAAAGGGAAACCAAUGGCAUUAUCUUCCUUUUGGUCUAUUCUAUUUAUAUUGUAAGUUAUUCGUGAUGACUUCUCCCAUAAAAGCUAAAAACCACUCCAAUAGAGCACACUUCACUUCUUCAUUUUUUUUUUUCCAGAUAAGCUCAGAAAGCCCAGCUCAUCCCUCAACUCCCCGAUGGGUUUGAUGAAUGUUCUUAAAUUCUCAACUGCAUGCUUUGAUCUUCUUAUCUGGUAUAUUGUCCACGCAUUUUCUUGUCAUUGGAAAAUUUUGGAAAAUGAAAUGGAAUUCUAUGUUUGAUGACAAAACUGGGAUUUGCUUUGAUUUCUCCAUGUUGGUUUUAUCCCUUUUGUUUGAAUUGUCCACAUUCUUGUCAUUGGUUGUUAGUUAUUUGUUUGGAUUUCUACUUGUAGGCCUCUGUUUGCACUGGGUUAUCCUCUAUAAAUCUUGGUCUUACACACCAAGAUAUGAUGAUUCAUUUACUCUUUUCUUGUUCUAUGAAUUCUUAGUUCUGUUACAUUUAUUGGGUUGGAAAACUGAAAAAGGAAAGGAUUAUUCGUUAUUAUCAUAAUAAUCAUCAACGUCAUCUCAAUUAUUCACAGAUGUGCAUCAAUUCAGGUAAUUGAGACUAACUCGAUCUCAGACAUUCAGAAGUUGGUGGCAUAUUGGGUUCUAUUUUCCUUGAUUUCACUUUUUGAUCGUACUUUUUCCAAGCUCCUUGAAUGGUAAUUUUGUUCAACUUCAUUCCAUCAUAUGUGGCUCUAUUUGUUUCAUUUCUUUGCCCUUCAGGAAUUUGGAGUUGCCUUUUUUAGUUUUCUUCCCUGUGAAAAUAAUCGAGAUGUUUAAUGUUCCAAGCCUCCAUGUAUUUUAUUUUCCUUCAUUUCUCUGCUUUGAUAAAUCCCCAUGAUUUGAUCAGCAAAAAGGCUAUAACAUUUGACAAAGAAAUGCUUUAUUUUGGUUUUUUAAGUACAACAAUUUUCAUUUGGAGAAAUGGUCUAAAGGGUAUCGGUGUUUGGAUGAAUCAUGGAAUUUUCUCGCUAAUUUGGGAUUUAUUCUCAAUUUCAAUAUCAUUGUGGAUAUUUCAAAAAUUAAUGAAAUAUAUAUGAUGGAAUGUGAUUUUCUUGUUUAAGAAAAGUUUUUCUUUAAAAAUUUAGGUAACCCUGACCUACCUUAUUGUGCUACUCGAAACACAAAACAAAAGUACAAGUAAUUUAGUAACUAAAUUGCACACUUUUUGAUAGUUCAAGGAAGUGGUGUUAGCUUUGGAAAUAAGAUGGAUCUACUAGUUUUUAUUUCUCAUCUUUAUAGGGAACUUUCCAUAAUAUAGCUUAUAAAUACCAUAAUCACAGUGAUGAAUAAUUGUCUUGUUUGAAAGCAUGGUUGCACUUAUUUGCAUGGAAUUUGUCUGCGUUGAAAUUAAAUUAAGCUUUAUGCAUCAUUUGGAUGCUGAGAAACAAAUGAAAAUAGAAAAUUCAAAAUUUGACAAGUUUGUGUAGGGAAAUUGGAUCUAAUCUCUUAAUCGAAGCUUAAUUAGGGCAAAUGUUGAUCCUCUUUGGACCUAUUGAAAGCUCUAAUCUGUGCACAAUUCUAAUGUUUUUGUUUCCUUAAUUUCUUUUUCAACUUUUCAACAAAGCAUCAAUUUGCUAUAAUAAAUGAGAACCAACUUGACGAUGAGAAAAAUGACUGGUGAUGAUGUCAUAGAGAAUCGCAGAUGAGAACAACCAAAAAUACUAGGAUUGGUACCACUGAUGGUAAUGAAGAAAACACAAAAAUGGUGCAAAUGGUGAACAGGAAACUCAAAAUGGAAUGGGAAAAGAAACCUAAACAAUAGUCUCCUAUAUAAAGCACACAACAUGUACAUCGAGGCAUCUGAAAGGACACGCUGCCUGAGAAGUCACUCUAAUUGAUGUGACUCCUCAUGACGUGGGUGGUGGACAUAUGUCCCAUGGUGCCAAAAAUUUCAAACACUCAAGCAACCGAAUACUUUCACUUAGUCAUUUAAAGCCUAGCUAGACUCAAUUGCAAGAAUUAAGGGCAUUGUGGGAUGCUCACCACCGUCUAUCAUGGUCCUCAAACACUGUCUGGUGUGAGACAUAUUGGCACAAGAGCCAUGUAGCUUCUCUAUCCACCCCAAGAUACUCCUAGGGUAGCAAACGAACACAAUCCGACCAAACACUAUGCAUUCCUACCCUACAAGCAUUAAUUUCAAUGAGCAAUAAGUGUAUUAACACAUUAAUGAAUGCAACCGUUAUAACGCUAAAACGCCAUACUUUAAGGUUCAUCAAGACACAACAACCAUUAUGGGCCGACAAUUAUUGGCGUUAAAUAUGGUAAUGCGCAAUCAAAGGCUCAAUUAAGGCCCUUUAGAAGACGUUACUAUUGGGCAAAGAUAAAUAACCAUUUUUUACCACAAGAAAGUCUGAUGCCAUUUUUUUCACAAAAACUUUUGCUUAAGUCUUCCAUCUCUAACCUAAGCUUUGAAGGGGUGUACUUGGAAAACCUAUCCGAACAUUCCUUUAUGUAGGUGCAAUCAUCGUUUAUGUCACGCGAAGGCUAGUCAAAGACCUUUAUUGGUCGUGCACCAAUAAAUCUAUUUAGUAUAUCUCAUUUAUCCGUUCAAGUGAGAUGAAGGAGUGACCUAAAGAUAGAUUGGAAACAUCAUAGUUUCUUAUAUUGGUAAGGCAGCAACAACCUCGGCUAGUGCAUCAACCUGCUCGUUUUCCUCUAGGGGUACGCGUUUGAUAAACCAUUCAUUCAAUUUUUCUGUUCAAGUGUACCAAAGAGAGGUAAUGAGCCAUGCAUUCAUCUCAAGCUUCAUAUUUUAGUUAGAUUUGUUCACCCACUAGUUGUGAAUUGCUUUUGAUUUCUACUUUCAUGGUUGUGAGAGCUAAGGCUAGAUCGUCUCAUAAGAAUUGCUUCAUAUUUUGCCUCAAUAUUAGAUACUGGAAAGUUGAGACAGACGACUUGUUCAAUUUGCUCUCCUGUAAGGAAUUGUUGUGUUAGUCCUAUCCUAGCUUCUGAUGUUCUAGAGGCUUCGUCUACAUGGAGAACACGCCAUUGUUCUUCAUUGUUAGACCUUGUCCAUUUUUGGGGUGGUUCGACUAUGAAAUCAAUGAGAACUUGCUAUUUGAGAUACUAAUGAGGUUUGUACCGUAUGUAAUAUUCACUCAAUUUGAUUGCCCAAUUCACCAUUCGACUAGAUAGAUUUAGCUUGUGCAACGUGACCCACAACGGUUGAUUUGUCAAGACCGUUAUUUGGUGCGCCUGAAAAUAUGGACAAAGCUUCUUGGCAGCGAUCCGUAAGUUCAGAGCCAUUUGUUCCACUUAAGAAUAUCGUGUUUUUGUGUCAAUCAUAGCUUUUCUCACAUAGUAAAUAAGUCUUUGUUCAUUACUCUAAUUGUGUGGAAACAAUAUGACAUUGACAGCAAAGUUUGACACAACCAGGUACAUGUAUAACUCUUCUCUAGCUUCAAGACUACUUAAGAUUGGUGGCUUCGUAAGAUACUGUUUGAUGUCUUUAAAGGCAUGCUCACACUCAUCCAUCUAACUAGACAUCUUUGCUCCCUAGAGUUUGCUCAAGAAAGGUCUGAGCUUAUUUAUGAAGCGUGUUAUGAACCAACCUAAGGUGAUUAGACACCCAGUUAGACGUUGCACUUCCUUCUUGCUAGUAGGAGCAGGGAUUUCUAACACUACUUUCACUUGAGCCAGAUCGACUUCAAUACCCCCUUUGAGUCACCAUGAACACAAGAAACUUCCACUCACUUACUCUAAAUGCAUAUUUUAUUGGAUUAAGCUUCAUGUCAUACCUGCACAUUAAACUGAAUGCUUCUUCCAAAUGGAGGAGCUUCUUGGAACGAGUUAUUCUCUUAAUGACAAUGUCAUCGAUAUAGACUUCCAACGUUCGACCUAUCAAGGGCUUAAAAAUAUGGGUCAUCAACUGUUGGUACGUAGCUCCAAUGUUCAUUAACCCAAGCGACAUGAUCUUGUAAAAGUACAACUCCUUAUGUGUAAUAAAUGUCAUCUUCUCUUUGUCAUGUGGAAACAUUGGUAUCUGGUGGUAUCCAAAAGAAGCAUCAAGAAAAGACAACAUUCCAUGCCUGGUUGUGGCAUCGACUAUCUAAUCUAUCUAGAGCAAUGGGAAGCUAUCUUUCAAGCAGACUUCAUUCAUAUCCACGUAGUCUGCGCACACCUGCCAUUUUUCUCCUUUCUUGGUACCACUACCACAUUUGUUAACUAGUCCAAGUAGGUCACCUCCUUGAUAAAUCUUCCUUUUAAUAGCUUCUCAACUUCUAUCUAGAUAAUUUUUUGAUGAUCCAACUAGAAACGUCAGACUUUAUAUUGUAUGGGUCGUGCUGUAGGAAGAAGGUUCAACUUAUGAGAGCUCACCGCUAGGUCUAUUCCAAGCAUUUCCGAAUGAAUCCACACGAGGAUAUCCUUGUUUUUACAAAGCAUUUCACCAACAUUACCACAUUCAUCCCUAGUUAGCAAAAAAUUAGCGUAAGUCAUCUGCUUAUUAUUUUUCGACAAAGAUAGCUAUUGUAAUAGGCUGAUUGCCAAUGAGUCUCUAUCCUCUAGUUUUCCUUCGACCUAAUUCUAUAAUUGUUAUUAGCUCUCUCUUGAUGAUUUGAGUUCAUCUUUAGUUGGGCCUGAACUCCAUCGCCACUUAGUAACACUACUAGGUGGCUAAUUGGAUUCCAUGUGGAUCCACUUACCCAAAUUCUGUCAGGUAGCUCACCAUCUUAUGAUAGGUGGAUGGAAUAACUUUCAUCUUAUGUAGGUACGACAACCUUAUGAUGGUGUUGUACGACGGUAAAUCCUCUACUAUAGAAAAUCAUACGUUGAGAGUAGGCGGGUUGGCUUGGACAAGAAGUACCACGUCGCAUAGUGAUAUUGUGGCAACCCUAUUAAACCCAAACAAAAGUCGAACUAGAUUUUCUAAGGCAGAUGACGAACAUCCCAUUUUCCUGUAGGUUGACAUAUGCAAUAAAUUGGAAUGAUCAUUUUAGGAAGGAUCACUUGAUUAAUGUUAAUUGAAGGGAAAGUGAUUGGGUCAUUGACUGGUCGGGCACUUUCGACAGUAAAUGUGCACUGAACUGCACUUACUCUUUCCCUCCCUGUAGUCGCACAGAGCAUUCGUCUCCUUUGUUGUUUGGAGUGAUAUUUGUCAUCUACUAUUUCCCCAUGGAUAUAGUUAAUCACUACUCGAUGUGUUGUGGGAGAGUCAGGAACUCACUCUGACACUUCACGUGUCAUUUCUUUAUGUCCACCAGUUGCUCAGACAUACAACUUGAGAUGUCCGGUAAUGAUUAGUUUCUCCACCAAGUAGUGCAAAUUUUUGCACUCUUCUGUGGUGUGCCCAUGCUCCUUAUGAUAGAAUCAUCGCAAUCCUCGAUCAUGCUUGGACGAAUCAGUUUUGAUGGGCUCUAGCCACUUGAACUCGAGCAGCUCUCAAAUCAAGAGGAGAAUUCUAUCAUAAAAAAUGGUCAACGGGGUGAGCCUAGGCGAUUAUCAUUGUUGUUGUCUUUCUUGUCCUUGAUUAGUCUAUCUAGACUGGCUUGAGGGCUUUAAGCUCUUAGCCUUCUUUUUUAAUUGCUCGGUUUAUAACCAGGAUUUGUUGAGAGGUUACCUAAACAUCCUCCUCAAGCAUGACAUGUUUGCCCACUCGUCUAAAUAGGUCAUUCAUUGUAGUGGGCAACUUUUUGGCCAUGGACUUGAAGAAUUGAGUGCUUGGACUGAUGAUCCAUUUGAAGAUCUGCAGGAUAGCAUCCAUGUUGUAAGAUUCCAUCUAGAACACCGCUUGUCUGAAUCACUUCAUGAAGUCCCUUAGCGAUUCAUUCUCCUACAUCUGAAUGUUCUAUAAGGUGCUUAUAUUCUGCUUUUGGCGAGCAAAACAUAAAUAAUGGCCCACAAAGGCCUCUAAAACAUCUGUCAUCUGUUGUUGGAAGUGCAUCAGGUGAACAAAAGAGUCACCAUCCCAUAGUAAAUAGUAAAUUUGGGCACCGGAAACCCCUGGGCAGCUCAUAACUAAUGAUAUGUGGGUCAAACGACAUGAAGAGCAUGUCAUCCAAUCAUCUACUUAUGGAGUCAAGAGGGGCUUUUGUCAAUGGGUUAUUUGUCGAUUGUAGUUCUAGUAUUGAACAUUAAGGCAGACGGCUUGGUGAUGCCUCAUCGUUUGAUUGGCCUAAUUGUGCUUUCAAGGCCUCCAAUAUGCAUGGCGAUGCUAGUGUUCUUCUCUCCUGAUACCCAAGAUAGGCUUUCAGGGCAUCUGAGAGACGUAAGCCCCAUUCUUAACCCAUUUUCCAUUUUUCUCCAAUAGAGCUUGCAACCUCUUUCGCUUGAGUUCGAUCGACUACUGAAUGCACUAGUUCAAGUAAUGUUAGCGAACUGCUAGUAGACAAUCCCUCAUCCACUGUUUGUAGAGACGACUUAGUGUAUCAUUGAAGAACUUUCAUUGUUUGGCUUCAAACUACUCUUGAAGUCGUCUAUUGGUUGGAGGUACGAUGACUUUUUUAUCAGCACCCCAUAGCCACUUGUGCUCGUAGCUCUUGGUUCUCUUGCUGUAGUUGUUCUGCCUGUUGGACAGGGACUACAUAGGUUAUUCAUAUUCUUCUUGCUUUUUUUCUAUCUUUCCUUGCCAAGCUUGGAAUCGCUCGUCAACAUUUGCAGAAUGAGUUGCAGGAGGCGUGUUAACCAUCGUGUUUUUUAGGCAUUUGUGGUUGAUUCCCAUAGACAAUGCCAAUGUUGGUGCACGACCAGUAAAAAAAGGUGUUUGGCUAGUCUCCAUGUAACAUAGAUGACGAUUGCACCUGCACAAAGGAAUGUCUGAAUGGGUUUUUCAGGUACACCUUUCCAAAGCUUAGGUCAGAAAUGGAAGACUUAAGCAAGAGUUUUUGUGGAAAAAUUGGUAGCAUACUUUUCUUGUGGUUAAGAAUAACUAUUUAUCUUUGUCCAACUAUAAUAUCUUCUCAGAUGCCUUAAUUGAGCCUUUGAUUGUGCAUUAUCAUCUUUAAUGUCAAUGAUAGCCAACCCAUAAUGGUUGUUGUGUCUUGAUGAACCUUAAAGGUUGGCGUUUUAACCUCAUAAUGAUUGCAUCCAUCAAUGCGUUAAUGCACUAAUUGCCUAUUGCAAUUAAUGCUUGUUGGGCAAGAAUGCAUAGUGCCCGAUUAGAUUGUGUUUGUUUGGUACCCUAAGAGUACCCUGGGGUGGACAAAAAAGCCACAUGGCUCUUGUUCUAACAUGUCUCGACUAGACAGUGUUUGAGGAUCAUGUUAGAUGGUGAUGAGCAUCCCACAGUGAAGACGUAUGAUGAAAGCAAAGGUAGGGCUUCUAAACCAAACGCUUUUAGGGAUUUUUUUUUUUUUUUCAACAAAGUUGACCUCUUCAAGGAAAAAAAAAAAGGUUAAAAAAACUAUUGCUUUUUUGGAUCCAAAUCACCAUUUCCAAUGUGAUAUUUGGAUUUCCACCAUGUAUUUUUUUUUUUUUUAACAGUCAAGGACAUUUUAUGGAUUAUUGAAAGAUAAUAUCUUUCAACUUAAUUUCCUACAUUAAUUAAGUCUUAGGCUCAAAUGUGAAACUUAAGUGGUUGUUAGGCCAUCAAACCCAUCUGCCCUAAAGUAUAAUUUCCCAUUUUCAAAAUAUAUAGUUGUUAAACAUCUAUCCCAAACUAUUGUAACCCUUUGAAGUGCUUGGUAUGUUAACCUUGUUUCCUUUUCCUUAUGCAACAUGGCUAAUUGAUUGUUGCAUUGAAUCAUUAUCAUUCACCAAAUCCAUUCAACUAUGGACUUACCUUUCAAAUCCCUCUAACAAAAAUGGUAAUUCCAAAACAACUCAAGUCUAAUGUUCUCAACUCUUUCAAAUGAUUUAAUUAAUUGGUGUUUGAAUAUACCUCUUAUAUUUUUUUAGAGCAAUUUUUAGGCACAUAACAUAAAUUUCUAAUUUUUUUUUAGAAAAGGUUUUAUAUUUUAUAUUUUAUAUUACAACUUCCCCUUUUUUUUCCAUCUAAAAAACAAAACAUAAAACCUUAAUAACCGAGUUUUGUCACAAACCCUUAACAAAUAAUCUAUUUUCCAAAAAUUACUUUAACAUCUUUAAACAUAUUGAUUUAGUAUACUUUACUUUUAAUAUUUUUUGAAAAAUAUUUUUAUUUUAUAUGAUUAUUAAUUAAUUAAGAUUGAUUGGGUAUGGUAGAAUAUAUAUUCCAAAAUACAUCGUAUUGAGAACAAUAUCACAAGAUAUUAUAUCCAUAUCUUAACAUAUUAUAUACUUUUAUUUUGUGCAAUUAGCAAUUGGACGGAAGGUAGGGAGCCGGCUUAAUGGAAAUGUCGCAUCUCACGUGUGUCCCUUCCCUUACCAAGUCUCAACAAAGGAUGAAAAUAUCGGUAAUCACGGAUAUAUCGGUACUUCGAUUUUACGGAUAUAUUAGAUAUAUCAGAGAUAUAUUGACGGAUAUUUUGGAAAAAAAUAUCGAUAAGCCUAAAAUUGAUCAAAAUUUAUAAAAAUAUAAAAAAAACUUCAUAAAAAUGUAAUUAAAAGAAGGUCGUAUAAGUUACUCAUGUUGAUCAUGUGAUAUAUCACGAGAUAUAAUCGAUUUUUGGGAAUUUCUCACGAAAAUAUCGCGACAUUUCUUCCUUGUCUCGACUGCUCCAAGAUUUCCUAUACGCCCUUCUUCGCUUAGCUCUUAAGUCUUUUCUUCUCCUCUUCCUCAAACCCAUCACAUUUCGCCGCGUGGAGCUAAGUCUCAAGGUCCUUUUGUUCGUACGAUGUAUGUUCCCCCAAUUCCUCAUCUACCUUGAAACUCCAUACUCGCCAUCUACUCAACCACUUCUCUACUCUAGAGUCUGGAUGCUUUAUCUCCGCGAGUGUCGAUGGCUCUUCACCCCAGCGAGUAUGGAAUUACAAGGGCAAUAUCGUCAUUAAAGACACAACAGGCAAACCAAUGGCAUUGUCUUCCUUUUGGUCUAUUUUAUUUAUGCUGUAAGUAUUCGUGCUUGACUUCUCCCGCGUCUCUUAUAAAAACUAAAGAAAACCACUCCAACAGAGCACACUUCAAGAAUCUUCUUUUUUUUUUUCUUUCCUCUUUCUCUUUACAUAUAUACUGAGAAAGCCCAGCUCAUCCCUCAAUUCCCAGAUGGGUUUUAUGAAUGUUCUCAAGUUCUCAGCUGCAUGCUUUGAUAUUCUUGCCUGGUAUGUUGUCCACGCAUUUUCUCGCCAUUGGAAAUUUUUGGAAAAUGAAGUGGAAUUCUCUGUUUGAGGACAAACAUGGGAUUUUCUUUGAUUUCUCCCUGUUGGUUUUAUCUAUAUUCUUUGGAUUACCCACAUUCUUGUCAUUGAUUGUUAGUCAUUUGUUUGGAUUUCUACUUGCAGGCCUCUAUUUGCACUGGGUUAUCCUCUGUAAGUCUUGGUCUUACACCUCAAGAUAUGAUGAUUCAUUUACUCUUUUCUUGUUCUACGAAUAGUUCAGUUACAUUUAUUGUGUUGGGAAACUGAAAAGGGAAAGGAUUAUUCUUUAUUAUCGUAAUAAUCAUCAACAUCAUCUCGGUUCUUCACAGAUGUUCUUCAAUUCGGGCAAUUGAGACUAACUCAAUCUCAGACUUUCGGAAGUUGGUGGCGUAUUGGGUUCUAUUUUCCUUGAUUUCACUCUUUGAUCAUGCUUUUUCCAAGCUCCUUGAAUGGUAAUUUUGCUCAACUGCGUUCCACUAUAUGUGACUCUGUUUGUUUCAUUUCUUUGCCCUUAAGGAAUUUGGAGUUGCUUUUUUCAGUUUUCUUUCCUAUGAAAAUAAUCGAGAUGUUUAAUGUUCCAGGCCUCCAUGUAUUUUAUAUUCCUUCAUUUCUCUGCUUUGACAAAUGCUCACAAUCUGAUCAGCAGAAAGGUUAUAACAUUUGAAAAAGAAGUGGUUUAUUUUUGUUUUUUUUAAGUACAAUAAUUUUCGUUUGGAUAAAUGGUCUGAAGGGUGUUUGUGUUUGGCUGAGUUCAUGGAAUUUUCAAGCUAAUUUGGGAUUUAUUCUCAAUUUCAAGAUCAUUGUGGAUAUGUCAGAAAUUAAUGAAAUAUAAAUGGUGGAAUGUGAUUUUCUUGUUUAAGAAAAGUUUUUCUUUGAAAAUGCGGGUGCACCAGACCUACCUUAUUGNNNNNNNNNNNNNNNNNNNNNNNNNNNNNNNNNNNNNNNNNNNNNNNNNNNAUCAGAUUCAACUGUGAUAGCCCGGAAUUUAAUUCAGUAUUCGACUCUUCUGGGAACAUGUUGGUUAUGGUUUCUCUCUCACUGUCCUCUUCUUUACACAUGACUUUUCAGUUGAGGAGCACAAAGCCUAAUGUUGAAGUGAAAGAGAUCAAAGCACCUGCAGCACCGGAGAAAAAAGGGGAACAGGUAAGUACUCUAAUGUGGCUAUUUAAUUUCUAUGGAGGCAGAUCCCCAGAGAAAUGCUGUUCAUGUAAAUUACUGAUGCAUUUGAUUCAAUGGCCACGGUUUUAAAAGAAAAACCACUUUAUGUAUGUUUCUGUGAAUGAGAGAACAAGUUUAUGGAUUAAAUGAUAUUUUUUAUGGUGAAAUAAUCAAUAAUUUUCAAAAUAAUAAUACAUUCCUGCAUGUUUUUGCAAUUCAUGAAUUCCUUUUAUGAUUGAUUCUUCUCACCUUUUUUCUCACCUCAGUGGAAGUGUGAAGAGCCUAAUGUUGCUCAAAAAGAGAUCCAAGUAGUCAAAGUAACAGAGAUAAAAAAUGGGGGGGAUGGAGCAAAGAGGGUAAGUUUUGCUUUUUAUUUAUAAAGUAGGCUGUCUUCACACAAGGAUUAUUAUUAUUAUUAUUGUUAUUAUUUUAAGACAUGAAUGUUGAAUGAUUUUGGAAUUGUCCUUGAAUCAUGUGAAGUGUGAAUGGUCUAAUGCUGCUAAGGAGGAGGUCAAAGUGACAGAAGUAACACAGAGAACAUUUGGUGGUACAGCACAGUGGGUAAGGUUUCAUGUCAUAUUUAAAUGGCUCCUCAUAUUUCACUAGGAUUAAUUUUGCCCCUACAAACUAUUUGGCUACAAGUUAAGACAGAGUUCCAGAUGCUGAUAAAGCUGAGACAUAAGUAAUGAACGAAUUUAGACACAUGCACAACUCUUGUGUGAAACACAAUGAGAGUGGAAAAUAGCUAAGUUGAAAAAUGGCCAAAUACUAUUUUGUAGUUCCCCCUACCACUUAAGUAAUUUUUGUCAUCCUUUGUGAAUGGAAAAUGCAGUCCCUUCAGUAAUUCCAUUAUAUUCAUGACUUGGUGAAGCAUAUAACCAUUAGUGUCUUACCCUAAGUCGACCUUUAAUGAUGAUCCAUUGAGAUGGGUCUGACUUUUGUCAACCCUCUUAUUCCCUUGAUCAUAGAGGUGAAACUUAGGGGGCUUAACCCACUUUUCAAUCUUAUUGGAUAUAUGGCACGUGGUAUCCUCUUCAUCUUGAAAGAGUGAAGUGGUCAUACUCUUUCCUCUGAGUCCAUUGUGGCCAUGCACUUCAGGCUCAUUGGGCUGAGUGAAAGGAUUCCCUUCUGCUUCAAAUCAUAGAGAGAUAUGCCAUGGUCAGCCUCUUUAAUUCAAGGGAUUGAAGUACUCAAAUCCAUUUCUCUGUAUCCAUCUUAGUUCUGCAUUCAUGUCUCAUGGUUAACCAAGAAGAUCCAGCCUCCAUCCAUGAGAUCAGCAUCUGCAGGUUUAUGACACCACCCUUCCUUUGCAUAGGAAAGGGAUCAUUAAGCCAUGUGUCGGAUGACAGAAGUCAUCAUUCAGGUUAUCUUGAGAACUAAGGAAGUUGGAAUUCUAAUUAUUGCAUAUGGUUCUUGAUGUUUAGCCAAUAUACUAUAGGAUUUUAAGCAUCAUGCUCACGUGCAUUGUGGUUGCUUAUCAGCUAUAUGGUUUGCCAAAAUGAGGGACUGAUUAUGGUCAUAAGUACCUUUUUCCCAUUAAUUUCUUGCAUGUGCUCUGCUGAGAUUAUGUUUUUGACAGUCCAAAUCAGGGCAAACCAACAAACAGCUUUAUGUUAACUUUUACAAACUGCCAUAUUUUCAGGUUAAACAAACAGAGAUAAAUCUUGGUGAAACUAGAAGUAAUACAACCUGUGCUGUGGAGAUAAAAGAAAGGGCAGCAGCACUGGUGGCUGCAGAAAUUGAGGCAUGUAGAGACGAUAGAACCCCCAAGAUACCUCUUCAUGAGAAAGUCCAGAAAGAGUGGGCUUGUGCUGUGUGCCAGUUCACAACCCAAACUGAAGCGACCUUCAAUUCCCACCUUCAAGGGAAGAGACAUCAGGCCAUUUCUGAGCAGCUGAGAGCCAAAAAUCAGGCAACCAAAACCAAUUGUUCCCCAUCUGCUUCAAUGGCCAAGAAAUCUGAUCAGUCCACCAAAGAGGAGCAACCGAAGUGUACUUCCAAUCUGAAUUCCAAAAACAAUGGAAUCUCAGCUGCUUCAACAGUGAAGAAACUUGAUGAGACCAAAGAUGAUGAGCAACAAAAGUCUGCAUCUAGCAAUGGACCGAACCAGAAGAAUAACAAAAAGCAAGAGGUACAGACCAAUGAGCAAGGCCGUCAGAAGAACUUAAGGCAAACUGGUGAUGGAAUGAAAGAGUUGAGAUCAUGGUGCAAUAUCUGUAAUGUAAGCUGCACAAGGGAGCUUGACCUGGCCUCGCAUCUCAAUGGAAGGAGGCACUUUGAUAGGAUAAAGCAGCUGUCUGAAUUAUGGUGCAGUAACUGCAAUGUAAGGUGCAACAGUGAGGUUGAUAUGGCCUCUCACCGAAAUGGGAGGAGGCACUUGGAGCAGCUGAAGGAACGGUUAGGAUUAUGGUGCAGUAUCUGUAGUGUGAGUUGCAACAGCAAGGUGGACAUGGAUUCUCACCUAAAUGGGAAGAUUCACUUGGAUCAGAUCAAGGACCAGUUAAGAUUAUGGUGUGGGGCAUGUAAUACAACCUGCAAGAGUGAGCGCAACAUGGCCUUUCAUCUGAAUGGGAGGAAGCACUUAGAGAAGAAGGGGAAUACCUGAUUUGCAUGUUUCUUCAGAUUAUUGAUACUUACAAAUGGUUUUAGUUAGAAGCAUACAGGCCAGUGGGUGGUGGUCACAGAUGCCUCUAUUUUGUUGUAUGAAGUAAAAACAGUAUUUCCAUGUCCAGAAAUCAACCACUUGUUUAGUGCAUGCAUGGCUGGUUCAAAAUUAAACCUAAUUGUGAAUGACUAGGAGCAGGGAGGGAAAAAUUGAAGGGAAGAAUGUAAGAUUAUGGCUUCAUUUUUAUUUUUUCCUCUUCUGAAAAUUGUAAGAUUGUGUUAGGAGGAGCUGGAAUGGGUUCAAAUCAGGAAUUAAGACCCAGUUCCAAGACAUGGAAAGUGUCUUUAGAUUAUGUUAAGUUAUUUCCAUUUUUUUUUCUUUUCUAUUUUUUUUCUUUAUUUAUUGUAAGAGGGAGCAUAAAUGAAUUUUUAUUUUUUAUUUUUUUUUUCAGAAUAAAGAUGAAUUUGAUAAUUUCAAUUAUUGCGUUUGGAUGUAUUUCGGAACGUAAGAUUGAAAUAAUUAUUUGUUUU
Molecule: long non-coding RNA, 79288 nt
Filed under: Vitis vinifera (wine grape)
Lineage: Eukaryota; Viridiplantae; Streptophyta; Magnoliopsida; Vitales; Vitaceae
Description: long non-coding RNA (VVIN_LNC000787)
Source: RNAcentral